RNAcentral lists this long non-coding RNA (65318 nucleotides) under Ananas comosus (pineapple). RNAcentral's name for it is "long non-coding RNA (ACOM_LNC024457)". The record is from RNAcentral. Lineage: Eukaryota; Viridiplantae; Streptophyta; Magnoliopsida; Poales; Bromeliaceae.
CUUCCCUAUCUAGAGUACUAAACUGAUCAAGUUCCACGACACUCAACUUUUUCUAAAAAAAUUAUUAAAUAUUAAAAUCUAAACUCUACUUCUAAAAUCCUUUAGAAUGGGUUAGAGUUUUUCUUUUAUAAUGGAUUAAGAUUACUUUCAAACAAUAAUGGAGGAUUUAAUUAUUUACAGGUUGGAUUUUGUAGGGAUAAGUUUACCAUUAUAUACGAGAUAAUGGGAUUCACUUACACCAAAACAAACAAUGGAACUCAAAAAACUAAUUUCACCAGCAUUAAGUUAAACCAAAAUAAACAGAAAAAGUGAUUGAAUUUAAUUUUCAGACUGUAUGAGUUACAUCAAAAUAAAAAAAAAAUCACACUUUAGAAAAACUCAAACAACACUACAUUUGAAUUACGUUGGUUCAAGAAAUCCGUCAAUCCAAAUACCCCCAUAAUCAUACAACUCGUCUCAUCCAAACUCUUUCCUUUCCCCAACUACAGGUCUUAUUAUCUUUUAACUAUACUAUUUGACACCUCCUACAAACGCCACGUGGCAUGCCUCCUUAUUCUCCAUUCCACAUGGCGACCAACCCUCUCACCCCCACCUCUACAGAGCCUCUCUCUUUUCUCAACUCACAUCCAGCUGGCAUUCUCUCUCUUCAACUACUGCACUCUCUCUCUUCCUUCCUACAGAUAAUUCUUUCUAUCUCUUCCUCUCUCUCUCCUCUCCUCUCUCUCUUCCUCUCUUAAGAUGGGCCCCUCUCUCUUUCCAGCUGGCCUGCUCUUUCUCUUUCUCCUCCUCUCCCUUUCUCUCUCUCUCUCUCUCUCUCUCUCUCUCUCUCUCUUCUCCUCUUUUCUCUAUAUCUUAGCCUUCCCUCUCUCUCCUCUCUUCUCACAGGGUACCUGGGCAGCAACAGCAGUGGCAAUGGCUUGGGCGGCAACAGCGGCGGCUGCGGCGGCAGUUUGAGCGGCAUCAACGGCAGUCGCCUUGCGUCGACCUCAUCUCGCCAUCGAGGGAUCUUAGAGCUUUUUAAAAUUACUGUGAAUAUCUCAUAUACCCUAAAAAAAAAUUAAAUUAAAAAAAUAUAAAAAAAGACUUCUGCACCUCGACCUCAUCUCGCCAUCGAGGGAUCUUAGAGCUUUUUAAAAUUACCGUGAACAUCUCAUAUACCCUAAAAAAAAAAUAAAUUAAAAAAAAAAGACUUCUGCAGGAGACGUUGCGGAGGGUGUCGCCGCGGGUCCGGUAGCGGUGGCAGGUCUUGCAGAAAUAGCGCGGCUGCGAGAGGGAGUAGUUGUCGAAGUAGCAGGACUUGGUGUUGGUCGAGUCGUAGCGCGGGCACUUGAGCGCCGUGUCACGGACUUAACGAAUUUGCUCGCAAAAGCCCGUGCGGCGCUCGCCUUCCUUCGCGAAGUGAGCAAGCCUGCCUCUCUACUUGCUAAGUUAGGACCUCACUCGCCCUAGACUAAGUACAAGAGAGAUAUAAAGAAAGCUCUUCUAUUACUUUGAACUUGUGAAUACAAUAUGAGAUUCUGAAAUGAGAGGGGGUGGAGGACACACUAUUUAUAGGCCACUCGCCGCCCAUAAUGCCAAUGAAAAGGUGCCAAGUGGCACAAUACUACUAGCCAAAAGGGGAGGCCAUGCGGUCUCCUAAGAGUCCUAAUAAAUAGCAUAUAAACUCGAAGAGUCAUACAUUUAUUGACUACCUAGAAACUCUAAGGGACUCUUAACCCUCCGGUAUCCGCACCGUCAGUCUCGAGAUCCGCGUAGAAGCUUUUAGAUGAUUCCAAGCCAAAACCUCCAUCAGAUGUCUGCUUUGGAGUUUGGGUGAUUGCAAUGCGAAAUCGCGGAGAAAAUCUUUAUGUCCUGACAACCUCCCCCACCUAUUGCGCAGACGCCCUCGUCGCGCGCUGGUGUUGGAAGUCAUCGAUUAGCUUCUGAUACUUCCAGAGUGUGUCAGCCUUCUCCGAGCUUGCCUCGCCAUGCGGGAGAUUCUUUCACUUGACAAGGUACUCCACGCUCCUCGGGACUCCGCGACGCCGAAUGGUGCGAGUGUCCAACAAGGCUUCGACGUCCUUGUCGAUUGCAGUGGUCAUAGUGGCGGGAGCGCGUUGCGACGCGCCCCGGCUCGGGUCCUCAUCGUCUUCAUGGUAGGGCCGUAGGCAGCUAGCAUGAAAGAGAGGAUGAAUCUUCAGGUUGGCGGGGAGUUGCAGUUUGUAGGCUGCCUUGCCUGCUCGCUUGAUGACAGUGAAAGGCCCCUCAUACUUUCGCAAAAGCCUAUGGUGUACCUUGCGAAAAGCCUUGAACUGUUUUGGUUGCAGCUUGAUCAACACUCGAUCUCCCUCGGCAAACUCCAAGGGUCGCCGCUUUGCAUCGGCCCACUUUUUCAUUCGGCGGGCCGCCUUCUCGAGAUAGGCUCUCGCAAUGUCCCCUUUCUCCUGCAAAUGAGAAGUGAAUUGGAGAGCCAUUGGGCUGCGGCCCUGCUCGCCUGCAGCAGCAGAAUGCGGAGUGAGUGGUUGCCUCCCCGUUGCCAGCUCGAACGGGCUAAGGUUUGUUGACUCGCUCCGCCGCAAGUUGUAGGAGAACUAGGCCACGUCCAGAUGAUGCACCCAGUCCUUCUGGUUGGCACUGACAUAGUGCCGCAAGUACUCCUCCAGUAGGGCAUUCACCCGCUCCGUCUGGCCGUCCGUCUGCGGGUGAAAACUGGUGGAAAAGAGCAACUCCGACCCCAAGAUCCGGAACACCUCUGUCCAGAACUUGCCCGUGAACCUAGGGUCGCGGUCACUCACAAUGCUUUCGGGGACGCCCCAAAGCUUCACCACAUUGCUGACGAAGAGCCGCGCCAUUUCUUCCGCCGUGCAAUCCGCUAGUGCCGCGAUGAAAGUCCCGUACUUGGAGAAUCGGUGCACCACUACGAGGAUGGACCCCAACGUCCCCACCUUGGGCAAGGCGGAGAUGAAGUCCAUGGAAAUGCUCUCCUACGGACGCGUCGGUGUAGGCAGGGGCUCGAGGAGGCCCCCAGGAUUCUGGCGUUCCACCUUGUCUUGCUGGCACACAAGGCAAGUCCGCACGUACGCCUCCACGUCGUCGUGCAUGCGAGGCCAAUAGUAGGCGGCCUCGAGUAGCGCCAUCGUCCGCUUCUGUCUUGGAUGUCCGGCCCAAUUGGAGUCAUGACAUUCCUUCAUGAGCUCGCGACGAAGAUUGCCCCAUCUGGGCACAUAGACGUGCCGCCCCUUGGUGAGGAGCAGCCCAUCGCUAAGCCAGAACCGCUACGCCUUGCCCUCCUUGACGAGUCGCACGAGUCCUUGGGCCACAGGUUCCUCGCAAGUCCCUUCGCAGAUUCGCUCCCUGAUCGCGCCUUGGAGGUGGCACACCGCUGCCAACUCGGCUUUGCGGCUGAGUGCGUCAGCCACUUGGUUGUCAAUCCCGGGUUUGUACAUGAGCUCCAUGUUGAACUCCGCCAGGAAGUCCUGCCACCUCGCCUGCUUGGGUGACAGCUUCUUCUGAGUGAGGAAGUAGCUCGUCGCGACAUUGUCCGUCCGCACAACGAACUUGCUUCCAAGGAGAUAGUGCCGCCAAGUCCUGAGGCAGUGCACUACGGCAGUCAUCUCCUUCUCUUGCACCGUGUAUUGCCGCACGGUGUCGUUGAGCUUGCGGCUCUCGUAGGCGAUGGGGUGUCUGUCCUGCACGAGAACACCACCAAUGGCAAAGUUUGAGGCAUCAGUAUGUACCUCGAAUGGACGGCUGCAGUCGGGAAGCCGCAACAUCGGAUCCUCUGUCACCGCCCGCUUUAAGUCCUCGAAUGCCUCCGCGCAUCGAGGGGUCCAGUCCCAUGACUGGGUCUUCUUCAGUAAAUCCGUCAGCGGGGCUGCUUGAGUAGAGUAGCCCGCGAUGAAACGGCGAUAGUAGUUGACGAGUUUGAGAAAGGAUCGCAGCUCGGACACCGUCGUGGGCGCCUGCCACUCGCAGAUCGCUCGCACUUUCUGCUUGUCCAUGUGGAGUUGUCCUCGGCCGAUCCAGUGGCCAAGGAAGUGCACCUCCUCAUUCGCAAAGGAGCACUUCUCCCUCUUGACAUAGAGUUAGUUUUCCCGCAGCACUUGGAAGAUCGUCCGCAGAUGCUCGACGUGCUCCUCCAAAGUGUUGCUGUACACGACGAUGUCGUCGAGGUACACUACCAUGAAGCGGUCGAGGUACGGGUGGAAUCGCUUGUUCAUCAGGGUGCAGAAGGUUGCCGACGCAUUCGUCAGGCCGAAUGGCAUGACGAGGAACUCGUAGGCUCCAUACCUCGUCACGCAAGCCGUUUUCUCCUCAUCGCCCUCCGCGAUCCUGACUUGGUAGUACCCCAAGCGAAGGUCCAAUUUGGUGAAGAACUUUGCUCCGCCAAGCUGGUCAAACAAGUCAGCAACAAAGGGAAUAGGGUAAUUGUUCUUUACCGUUACUUUGUUGAGCGCUCUGUAGUCAAUGCAGAGCCGCAGGCUUCCGUCGCUCUUUCUUUGGAACAAGACUGGUGCUCUGUAGGGUGCCUUCGACGGCCUGAUGAAGCCCGUAUCGAGGAGGUCCUUCAGUUGACGUUGCAACUCCUCGAGCUUUGGUGGGGCCAUGCGGUAUGGUGCCUUUGCUGGUGGCUUUGCUCCUAGCUCGAGCUUGAUCGCAUGGUCCACCUCCCGCCUGGGUGGAAGUCUCUUGGGCAACUCCUGGGGCAUGAUGUCCUUGAACUCCCCCAGGACUGCAUUGAUCAUCGCUGGAGGGCCCUCCUCCUCGAGGUCCUCUUCGCUCACCUCGUGGAUGGCCGCAAGGUAAGUGAUUUCGCCGCGCUUCACCCCCUUCCGCAAUUGCAGAGCGGAGAGGGUGUGGGUUGCCACUGGCUCGCCGCGGCUCGCCAAGACCAUGCAUGGGGCCGUCUCCUCCAUGAUGCUCAAGCCCCCAAGAUGCGGCAUUGGAACCGCCUUCGAUGAAGCGAGAAAGUCGAUGCCGAGAAUGACUUUGAAGUCGUUGAUGGUCGCGGCGGUGACGUUAGCUGUACCCGACCAGGGUCCUACAGCGAUCAUCACCCCUUUGGCUACUCCUACGAUAGGCUGUGCCAUCAAGUUGACAGCCUUGAUCUUGCUCGUGUCCUUCUCGAGUGUGAGGCCCAGCCGUUUGGCCUUAGACUCAGCGAUGAAGUUGUGGGUCACUCCAGUGUCCGCGAGCGCACGAGUGGCUCUCCCGUUGAGGGUCACGUCCACGAACAGCAGCUCCUUCUUGAGCGGUUUGCUGCUUGCCUGCUCCUGCAUCGCGCUGACGAGUCGUAGCGUGCCCAUCUUCGUCUCCGCUUGUUCCUCGCCCUCCUCGGCUUGGAUGGCGUUGACGGUCUUCUUCUUUGGGCAAUCUCUCGCCCAGUGAUCACCCCCGCAGACAUAGCAAGAGAUCGUCUUCUUCUUCUGCGAAAGGCCCUUUCGCUCUUGGCCCUUUUGAUCACGUUGCUCGCGACGGUCUCCCCCACCCUUGGCCUUGCCCGCCUUAGAUGGUUUGGCAUGAGCGAAGUCCGGCUUGUCAUACUCCAGUAGCUUCUCCGCUUGAGCGAUAGCGGAGCUUACAUCUUUGACGUCUCUCGCCACGAGCUCCUUGUUAGCCCAUGGUUGGAGACCGUCGAGGAAGAAGAACAGCCGAUCCUCCUCGGCCAUGCUUGUGAUGGCAAGCAUCAGCUUGGAGUACUCCUUGACAUACUCCUUGAGGGAUCCUGUAUGCUUGAGCCGUCGAAGUUGCCUCCGCGCCAGGUAUUCGACGUGCUCGGGGUGGAACUGUGCCUUCAGUUCGCGCACGAAGUCUUCCCAAGAAUCCAGUUUGCAUUGGCCCUUCUCGGCCUCUGCAGAACGCCGACGCCACCACAGCAUCGCAUCGUCGGUGAGGUACAUGGAAGCGGUCUGGACCUUGUCCUCCUCGUUCUCCAUCUUUAGCGCCUUGAGGUAGUGCUCCAUGUGCCAAAGGAAAUUGUCUAUUUCCUUCUCGUCGCGUGCGCCCUUGAAACAUUGGGGUUCAGGAACGUGUACCUUCGGGGUGUACUUUUUCUGCGUCUCGACGCCUCGAGCCACUGCCUUCUCAAGGAUAGUCACUCUCUUCUUGAGGUCCUCGACCUCGUCGACUCGAGUAACUAGCUCCUCAAUCAACUUUGUCCGCUCCUCGUCACGACGGGUGAUGUUGCCUUGGAGCUUCUCAAUCACGCUUCGAAAGGUUGCCAUGGCAGUGGCGACACUCUCCUCCAUACUGCGAACAUCAUCAUUAAAGGCGUUAAAGGUAUCGGCCAUCUCGGUGUACCUUUCACCCACCUUCGAUAGAAUGUUCUCCAACAGUGCAAGGCGUUCCUCCACAGAUGCGGAAUCCUUCGUGAGUCGCAUCUCCUUGCCCUUGCUCCGCUUGGAGGGUUGCUUUGGGGGACCUCCCCCAACGUCGACAAUUUCGGCAUCGGAUGACGACAUGGCUCCUUCUCGAACCGGCUCUGACACCAACUGUCACAGACUGAACGGUUUGGUUAGCAAAAUCCGUGCGGCGGUCGCCUUCCUUCGCGAAGUGAGCAAGCCUGCCCCUCUACUUGCUAAGUUAGGACCUCACUCGCCCUAGACUAAGUACAAGAGAGAUAUGAAGAAAGCUCUUCUAUUACUUUGAACUUGAGAAUACAAUAUGAGAUUCUGAAAUGAGAGGGGGUGGAGGCCACACUAUUUAUAGGCCACUCGCCGCCCAUAAUGCCAAUGAAAAGGUGCCAAGUGGCACAACACUACUAGCCAAAAGGGGAGGCCACGAGGUCUCCCAAGAGUCCUAAUAAAUAGCAUAGAAACUCGAAGAGUCAUACAUUUAUUGACUACCUAGAAACUCUAAGGGACUCUUGACUCUCCGGUAUCCGCACCGUCAGUCUCGAGAUCCGCGUAGAAGCUUUUAGAAGAUUCCAAGCCAAAACCUCCAUCAGAUGUCCGCUUUGGAGUUUGAGUGAUUGCAAAGCGAAAUCGCGGAGAAAAUCUUUAUGUCGUGACAGCCAGCUUCGGCUACGGAAUCUUUGCGAGACGGGCGCGGUCCGCCAUCGAGCCAGGCCGGGCAGGGCCGCCGGCUGCAGCUGCCAUGCUUGGGGCCUCAGGGCGCGGCGCAACCUGCGGACCCGGUGGGAGCGGAACUGAAGAAAAAACCAUAGUGUUUUUCUUUUCUUUUUUCCCCUUAGCUUCUUCCUCUUUCUGAUUAGAUUCUUUCACAGGGUUAUGGUGGAGAGAUGGUGGAGAAUCACAUCCAUAAGCAGUUCCUUUGAGAGAGAUAGAGAGAGAGAGAGGAAGGAGUGUGAAGAGAAAAGGAGGAUUUCUUUUUUUUUAUUCUAUUUAAAAAAGCAGUUCUUUUUUUUAUUCUACUUAAAAGUUCUGUAAUUAAGUUGGAGCUCACCAUUAGGUAGAGGGCUUAGAGGCACCCGGCGGCGUCGCGUGCAGCUUCGCGGACUGAGGAGUCUGAGGGGAGGUCUCUGACGCGCUUGACGAGGUGGGCGACGAUCCUGGGGAUGUGUUUGGCGGCGGCGCCAGGGUGGGCGGCGCAGUGGGCGGUGAGGAGGAGGAGGGAUUCGCGGCGCGCGGCGGCGGAGGGGAGCGGCGCGGAGGGGUCGUGGGCGAGGUCGGCGACGAGCAUGGGCACACCCUCGGGGCUUCACAACUUAUCUGUUUUUAUUUUUUUUAUUUCUGAUAUUAUGUUUUUUUUUUUAUUAUUAUUUACUCAAUAGAAAGUUCAAAAUAUCUUUUUUUUUAUAAUAAAAAAUAUUAUUAUCUAGGUAAACUUCUGAUUAUUUUUUUUACUCUAAUUUUUAUUCUCUUUUUUCACAAUUUUUCUAGAGCAUAUGACCCAUUUUUACUUUAUUUAAUCAUAUUUUUUCUUAACCAUACUGUAAAAAUAUAAUAUCUAGGUGAAUCUCUUUUUGUUAAAUAGAAAAUAAUCACAUGCUCCACAACUUCUUUUGUGACAUGUAUUCUUUUUUUUAUCUUGUUAAAAAAAAAAACACAACAUUUAGAUAAACUUUACUUUUUUUUAACUAUAAAUUUUUUUUAUUUUAUAUUUCUACUUAACUGUUUCAUUAUAAUUGUACUUAACUAUGAUAUAAAAUUAAUCGUUAACCGCAGCGAAGCGCGGGUUCUAUACUAGUUAUUAAUAAUAUUUUACUAAAAUUUUAAAAAGGGCUUGUAAACUUCACAACACUUUGCAUAAGGGUAGAGGUGUAAAACUGUCAUGCCUCGGGUCUCCAUUUUUCUCGAGCUCGCCAAUAGAUCUGCCGUAUACAUAAAAUUUUUUUAUGUAUACGAAGCGAUAGCUGAACCUGCAACAUAUAAGUACAACUACAAGAGAGUAACAGAGCUAAUAAAAUAGAAAUACAUAUAUAAGACCAACUGUACAAAUUAAAUAAGAGGUACAAACUCAGCUCCUCACUCUACAGUAUCUACAACUAUAUGUACAUUGCUACAAAAAGAAACUAUCUCCAAAAGGGUGCUCCUCUAGCAUGAUGACCGGGGUGGACGGGAAUUUAACUCGCAACUUCCUUGCCUCAAUCAGAUGCGGCAGCGUCAGCGACAGUCGAAGGCUCUGCAAAAAGAAUAAUAACAGUGAGUGUGAACAACUAUUAAGCUAGUAGUACUCAGUGGGUACGUCACCAACCUCAAUGGCCUACCUACUAAGUCUAUGAGACAAUAGUAAAGCUAGCAGGUAAAAGAAACAGUGAAUACUACAAAAAAUCUUGCAUUAAGGACACUUUAUAUAAUAAUUAGCGAUGCUUUAAAGUGUCGGCAAAAAUAAUCCUGACACUUGUAAAAGCGUCGAGCAAAGAGUCAUUAAAUAAACAUGUCGGGAUAAAUAUACCAACGUUUUAAUAUAGCGUCGGAAAAUUUUUAUAAAUAUUUGAUAAAAAUAUGUUUAUUGGCGAUGCUUAAUCAUAGUGUCAGCAAAUGCAAAAUAUUAAAGACGCCAGAAUAAAGCGUCGUUUAAAAAGCGUCGUCUAAAACAUAUUUUGUUGUAGUAAGCUGAAAGAAACUCUACAGCUAUUAUGUCACUAUACAACCUCUAGUCAUAUCAUGUUCUCUGUAUAUCCAUGCAUCACAAACUAAAAAAUAACUAUCUCAAACCCAAUCCAACAGAGACUGUCUGUACGGCCCGUUCAACCUGUGCCUAAGCUACACCGCACACCACCCUCGAGGUGGCCGGUCCGAGUAACAUGUCCAAAGAGGACAGCUGCGAUAUCAACGCGAGAAAGACAGACUCCGAAGCGGCACUCGUGAGUGCAACCUAACCGAGUAUGCAAGCGCGUCUCUAUUGAGCUCAAGUAGGCUCACAGGCUAUAAUCAAAGCGGAUUGUCAAUAAAUGAAGGAAUCAAAGCUCACGUGCCCUCGGUACAAUCAGAUGCAAUAAGUAUAGAUUUGGGUCCAUCGUCAAUCCCGACAGCACCCGUCAGUACGGAAUAGCCUAAACUAUGCUAUAAAAAUGAGGUUAGCAUCUCAGCACGAGCGAAAUCUCAGCCUACACUAGUCUAAGUAUUCACGACGCACUAAUCGCGGUGAUACAGAAGAGAAAUCAUGUCAUGCCCCAGGAUCUUUUGACAAAUCCUCUUUAAGAAAAGCAAGCGAAAACGUGUUGGUUUUGUGACUCUUGUACUUGAUGACCUACACGGUCGGCAUACCCUAAGGGGUAGGAAUGUCGGCUAGUUGCCGAUGGUUGGCUAUUGAGUAUAUCAGUAUCGAUCGCCACUGCUCGUACGCAUUUCACGAACACCAGGGGUUUGAUCCACCGCAAAGGGGUGUUCUUUUCUGGAAAAGUGGUUAGGAGUGUCAGCCCGUGGGCCCAGGAACUUAUGCUAGGGUUAUAUGCAGGUUAGAGUGGUAGUGGCACAGGACUGAGGUCUUUGGACCGACAUGGCGGUUACUGCAUUGGAUAUUUUGGGACUGAACGUCCGGUUGAUACAUUCAUAUACAGUAGCUGUCACGCCCCACGACCCGCCAAUUUGGUCGGAUCCGGGCACGUCGAUCAGAUGCCGAACGGAUAGCACCUCCCCUGUUCGCCCAAGGCUCAACAAUAGCAAUCAUGUACAAGAGUCUGCCCAGGAAAAACUCUAACAACAUACAUGAUCAAUGCGAAGCACCACAAGUGCUAUACAAUUAAGAGCAAGAAUCACAAGUAACAUACAAUGAAAUAAAGAGAGAUACAUCUAGCUAUUACAUCCGCACGGCAUUCAACAUGUAGAUCCUUGAUUACAUUUACAUCUCCAACAUGAAUAUACAUGGUGAUCUCCAAAAUACAUAAGAAACUCCCAAAAUACAUACAUCACUAGCAACCUCACCAUCAAAAUACAUAAGUCACUCGAACCAUAAUACAUAACCUCUCAAAAUGGUACCCGACUCUAAUGCACAUAGAAGUAACUAGCUAGCUAGGGCACUAUGGCCUUACCAUGGUCCUCUGCCGGUACACUCUCGCUAGGCCCUGCAACAAAAUAGGGUGAGAACUAUAUAAAUAUAGUUUCCAGUGGGUUCGGCCGCCGACACAGCCGAUCUUCCCACUAGGUCCAAGUAGGUACAAGCAGAUAGAUAGAUAGAUAGAUAUGAAAUUGAAGUGUAACAUAGUAAAGUAAUCUGCAACAUUCUACUAUGCCGUCAAUAACCAAUGGAAUGAGCUACAACAUAGUAUAUGAUCUAUGCAUCAAUAAUUCAUUGUAUGAGCAACUACAUAGUAUGCAAUCUACACAUGCUACUAUGUCUCAAAUGUCAAAUGGAUGAGCUACUACAUAGUAAUGUAUCCUGCAACAUGCUACUAUGCCUCAAAUAUCCAAGUACCAUAUCCAAGUGAAAUGCAUAAGCUACUACAUAGUAUACAUUCUACACAUGAUACUAUGACUCAAUAAUCAAAUGUAUGAACGAGCUACUACAUAGUGCGUCGUGCAACUAUACCUCGAUAAUCAGAAUGAACGACCCACUACAUAGUGCGUCGUGCAACCAUGUCUCGAUAGUAUCCAAUCUCAUGGCCAACCUGAAGGUUGCUACCCCGACUUACAUCUCAAAUCUCGGUAGUGGGGAGACUCUAUGCUACACCCACCCAAGACCCGUCUACGGGACAACUACGUCUGUCCCAACACGACUACUACUCCGGAGCUCACUACUUGGGUGGAACGACCACGCCAAGGUUAUACAGACUAUGUGAGUAUGAUCCAAUCUCUACACUGGAGGAUACCCUAUCUAUUAGGGCCACAAUGCCUCAACUGCACUAAUGCCAAAUGCAUAAUGUCCACAACAUGACAAUCGGGAAAAAUCUACUAUCCUUAGGUUUAAAUGCCAUAGUGUUCCACUACACUAGAUUUGAUGCCACUCAUUUAUGCCAUGAUGUUGUAUGUGUCUCAAUACACUAGAUCGACAUGCCACUCGUCCAUAUUAUAGUGUCUCUAUUACACUAGUCCAAAUGCCACUCAUCUAGGCCAUUUACAUGUCCAAGUUCAUCAUCAUUUUGUCACUAGGAUUCUUGUCACAAGACCCAAUCCUCAUGCAACCUAAGAUCAAGUGUCAAGCCCACAAUGUUACACAACCUAGGUAACAUGCAAGGAAUGGAAAUCCAAUCAUCUACUAAUCCUAUAAUGCACAAUGUAUCAACAUAUGAGAAUAAGAUCAAAUACAUAGAACUUAGACAUAAAAGGAAACCCGGUUGCUUCGGGAUAGACACCCCCCACCUUUAGGUGAUGUCACGAUGCUACGAUUUCGGUUUCGUGAUUUUUGGAAGCUUAUGCCGCGAGCUACGGCAAUCUGUACCGAAAUCGGCCUUUUCUUCAAUAUCUUCACGUAGGCUCGACGAAUCGCCAAACCGACUUCACCAACGCAUUCAUAUACCUAGCAAUUAGGUUUGUAUAGGGUUAAUUUAGAUCAAACCCCACUAGUGAGCAAAACCCCAUUUUUGUAGCCCUAAAACCCCAUUAUUGCAAAGUGCUUCAUCUAGCUCAUUACUCUUGCAAUAAAUGGAAAUAGCCACAUCUAGGGGUCCAUUAAAUUCCACUCCUUGGGUUUAUAAAUCCAUCCUUAGCAUUCUACCAUGAGAGGGGUUCAAGAGCUUACCUCUACAAGCUAUUCCUCCCAAGCUAAGGAAGAAGAAGGUGAUGAUGCUCCAUCUCAAAGCUCUAGUCUCCUUUUUUCUCCUCCUCUUGCCUUCCUCCUUGAAGAAAGAGAGAGAGAGAGAAACACCUUAGAGAGAGAGAGAGAGAGAGAGUUUAGGGUUGAUGGAAUGAGAGAAAAUGAGAGAGACAUCCCUCAUAUAACUCCCCCUUAUAGCCAAAUUGCCAAAAGCCCCCUAAACUAUGCAAACUGCUCUAAACUGGGUAUUUUCGGGUCUCGGGGACCGGUCCUUGGCUUGAGGGACCGGACCUCGUAGGUCCAAAAAUUCUGCAUUUCCAAACUUAGCUAAAAUUUCAGCCUUUUCGCCAAUUUUGGUAUGUUUUCGCUCAUUUUCACUCCGUGGGUCUCCGAUUCAUUUCAAAUCGAACCGAGGCUCUCAAAACAUGUUUUCAAGCGCGUUUACAUCAUAUUUUCAUCCACGCUAAUGCCGGAUUUAGUCCAUGGUCCAACAUAGCCUUUCGGGUCCCGUUUUCGCCCCUACGCGCUCCGAAAAAGCCUGAAUGCUUCCGAACUUCACCGAAACAUUCUAAUGGCUUUCCAAACCAACAUAUCCCGUAACUUCAUAACUUUAGAAGUUCGGUAUGUUACACAUUGAGGUUCUCAUUCCUUACCUCCUCCCCUCCUUAAAAAGAGUUUCGUCCUCGAAACUCAAAUCACUCAUCCAUUCGAGUUAUCGAGCGACAGAGGGUAUUAAUGCACUUUUCCACUCCGGAGUGGCCUUCCUCUUGUCGGAACUAUCCAAAGGCCCAUUAUGGAGGAUGUGAGACCAAACUCACUCACUUUUGCCAAAUGCAACACUAAAAGUGCAUUACGGCUCCGUGCCCUUGGUGGCAGCGUAAGUCGAUACUUAAUGACUCUACACGCUUCAACACCACUCGCAGACCAACAUGCAAAGGACUUCUCUUUGCAUUUCACACCCCAAUCAGGGAACACACUCCGAUUCUAUCACCGGCAUUGCCUAGAAGCAAUAUCAUUGGUGCAUCGACCAAUCGCGAGUGCUACUAUCAUAAUCGGAUCUUUCCUCUACUACGAGAUGGCACAAUUCUCAAGAGAGCAUCAUCCGCAAUCUCACGUGGCUAUCCGGUAUUCAAGUGUCUCCAAGAGACCACUUUACUUUCUCUUUCAAUCGCCACGACCAAUAUCAAAUCGCUCUACAACGAGCUCACAUGAACAUUCUGUUCGCGAAUCCAAGCCAAACUCCUCGACAGAGUUAUUGGCCAAACCGAUUACCUCGGUUUCCAUGGGUGGACCAACAGUCACCAACUCUACAUAGGCCUAUAGCCUAAACCUGUCGUGAUACUCGUAACGUCUCUCGCUCGCAAGCGUAGACCCAAUCAUAACUGGGCGAAAUUCUCACUUGGGAAUUGGCACACACUCCUACCAGGAGCAACCAUAACCCCAAACCUCAUCAAACCUCAGGUUGGGUCACUACACACUCGGUGUAUCCUCGAUAUCGCGAUCCAACAGGUGGCAUUCCACGUUCCCGGGUCUAAGCUCGAACUACCGUCCUCACCAAAACUCUGCCCUACUCGCAGGUACCGAGCCGCUGUCAAUCACAGCUGACUGCGCCUGUCCAUUGGGCCCAGGCUCCACAGUCCACAAAUGGUCCAGGCACGGGUCGUCCCCAAGCAACACUCGCCGUCGUCGUCCUACACAACACGCUCUACCGAGCCACAUGCACUACCACCGGCUCCUAUGCACCUAGUACGAGCCAGUAGCCCUACGAGUGAUCCAUGACCCACUUCACACUUAGCCAUACUGAAGUGCUACUGCCAUCUCACUCUCCUUCGGCUGAAUCAAAUCUGCACUCCACGAGUAUCUAUACUCGCGCGCUCUACGCCUCUACAGCGUUCCACACGAAGCCCAGCAUUAGGCAACCUUGCCCAUGCACACAGGUUACACAAGCACGACUCACCUACCUCAAUUCGAGGUACUACCAGGCCCACGCGCCUGUACCCGGCAACUAAUUGGCUACUCUCUCAACAGUGAUUCUACUUUCACUGUUCGAUCUACCGAAACAACAUUCGUAACACUCGGACUACUCGGGUAUCCACAAGUAUCAUGGCUCAACUCUCGCAAUCUACUGAUCACAUUGCCUUGAGAGUCGCUUCACCAUUUCCUCUCUAUCACGAGUCUCAUCUCUUGUCCAAGAACCACCACUAGCAAUUUGCUAGUGCCAUCUAGCUCUCUACCUGCUCCAGCAGACACUACACUCUCACACGGAAGCAUGCCCAGGUAUUUUUACCUACCCGUCCACUGGUCCCUACUAUACUGAUGCAUAAAUAGUAGCAACAGACCAUAACAAUGCAUGCAAUGUUCCUCGACCUGGGUCGCGCCCUCAUGGCCACUCGGCACACGCCGUGGACCCUUCGAUCCGCCAUGUCCUCAUAACUCACUCUCCCGACCAUGCUAUAGGUGGCACACCCGCAGGCUAUCUCGGAGAGGAGAAGGCAGUCGCCAACGCCAAGGUCCGGUCUUCCCCUCAGCGGCGCUCAUCUUGCCCAUGGCCCGGCCGCCCACAAUGCCCAAUCCAUGACUUCGGCAAAAGUUUGCAACUUAAGAGUAUGCACAACUUUGGAAAUCUCCGGCCAAAGUCCUCGUACAAGCGAUCAGCUUGAUCCUGUCAUCCCGCACCACAUUCGGGACACAACUCACGAUACGGGAGAACUCCUGCUCGCACUAAGUAUAGAUCCUCAAACAGAGUUUCGAUGGAAUCAAUCCACAACUCCACAAUCCACGGAUCUACAUCCUCUCCAUCAAAGGUAGGCGGAUCAAAUUCCUUGAAAAUCAUGAGGGCCGCCAAAGCUCGCUCCCUCACCGCCUCCACCUUUGAAGUGUUAGAAAUCGGAUUGCCCGACUCUGACAGAAACACCUCUGUCGCGACUCCCAGCCAUACUCGACGAGCCAAAACUGGUGCGGUCACCAAUCGACCAACCGUUUCUUGGAGUCUCUUAAUCCGCUCCUCCUGGCGCACGACAGCCUCUUGCUGUCGUUGCACCAAUUCGACUCAUUGCCUUGCCACUCCUAUGAGUGGCGAGCCGCUCGUGAAGUCCUAAGUCUUCGCUUGCCUCGGACUGCUCAAGGACAUCACUUGUCCUAUCCCGUGCCGAUCUAGACGAAGAUCGCCUACGCGGUACCAUCGUCGAUCUCCUAAACCGCAACAACACAGUUGGUCUCGACCCUCAAGGUCGAACACGUAACAACUAACAUUGACUCGACUCAAAUCAGGCGAAAGUCAUACAAGGGUGCCUAUUCUCAUCACUCGGUUUCAUGUUGUAUGCAUCCGACAUGAACACCCUCUGUCGAGAAUAAACUGAACCUUGAAUCCACCUCUAACAUCCGUCUUAGAGGUUUACUAACUUGACCUAAUCGAUCAAUCUUUCGCCACAACGCAUAGGUUCACGUCACUCACGCACAUAUGGCCUUAUGGUUUACCAACCUAGGGUCUCCUAGGUCAAUCCUAGACUCUCUCUUUAUUUGCUCUUAACUUGCUCUGAUACCAUUUUAUCUGUCACGCCCCGUGACCCGCCAAUUUGGUCAGAUCCGCGCACGUCGAUCAGACGCCGAACGGAUAGCACCUUCCCUGUCUGCCCAAGGCUCAACAAUAGCAAUCAUGUACAAGAGUCUGCCCAGGAAAAACUCUAACAACAUACAUGAUCAAUGCAAAGCGCCACAAGUGCUAUAUAAUUAAGAGCAAGAAUCACAAGUAACAUACAAGUGAAAUAAAGAGAGAUACAUCUAGCUAUUACAUCCGCAAGGCAUUCAACAUUUAGUCCUUGAUUACAUUUACAUCUCCAACAUGAAUAUACAUGGUGAUCUCCAAAAUACAUAAGCAACUCCCAAAAUACAUACAUCACUAGCAACCUCACCAUCAAAGUACAUAAGUCACUCGAACCGUAACACAUAACCUCUCAAAAUGGUACCCGACUCUAAUGCACAUAGGAGGUAACUAGCUAGCUAGGGCACUAUGCCCUUAUCACGGUCCUCUGCCGGUACACUCUCGCUAGGCCCUGCAACAAAGUGGGGUGAGAACUAUAUAAAUAUAGUUCCCAGUGGGUUCGGCCACCGACACAGCCGAUCUUCCCACUAGGUCCAAGCAGGCACAAGCAGAUAGAUAGAUAGAUAGAUAUGAGAUUGAAGUGCAACAUAGUAAAGUAAUCUGCAACAUUCUACUAUGCCUUCAGUAACCAAUGGAAUGAGCUACAACAUAGUAUAAGAUCUAUGCUUCAAUAAUCCAAUGUAUGAGCAAUUACAUAGUAUGCAAUCUACACAUGCUACUAUGCCUCAAAUGUCAAAUGGAUGAGCUACUACAUAGUAAUGUAUCCUGCAACAUGCUACUAUGCCUCAAAUAUCCAAAUACCAUAUCCAAGUGAAAUGUAUGAGCUACUACAUAGUAAUGUAUCCUGCAACAUGCUACUAUGCCUUAAAUAUCCAAAUACCAUAUCCAAAUGAAAUGCAUGAGCUACUACAUAGUAUACAUUCUACACAUGAUACUAUGCCUCAAUAAUCAAAUGUAUGAACGAGCUACUACAUAGUGUGUCGUGCAACUAUGCCUUGAUAAUCAGAAUGAACGAGCCACUACAUAGUGCGUCGUGCAACUAUGCCUCGAUAGUAUCCAAUCUCAUGGCUAACCCGAAGGUUGCUACCCGGACUCAUAUCUCAAAUCUCGCUAGUGGGGAGACUCUGUACUACACCCACCCGAGACCCGUCUGCGGGACAACUACGUCUGUCCCAACGCGACUACUACUCCGAAACUCACAACAUGGGUGGAGCGACCACGCCAAGGUUACACAGACUAUGUGAGUAUGAUCCAAUCCCCACACUGGAGGAUACCCUAUCUACUAGGGCCACAUUGCCUCAACUGCACUAAUGCCAAAUGCAUAAUGUCCACAACAUGACAAUCGAAAAAAAUCUACUACUCCUAUGUUCAAAUGCCAUAGUGUUCCACUACACUAGAUUUGAUGCCACUCAUUUAGGUCAUGAUGUUAUAUGUGUCUCAAUGCACUAAAUCAACAUGCCACUCUGUAGCAUACUGGACCUUUGCAAAUUGCGAGGUUCGAGUAUUUGAUAUGUAUUCUGAACUUUUCCACACUUGGUGGAAGGUCGUAGAUGGUAUUCCGGCCUAAAAGUUCGAUCGCUAGAGUUUUGGUAAGUCCUGAGAGUUUUCACUCUCGGGGACCGGUCCCUGAUAUGAGAAACCGGUCCCCUCAGAACAGUGCUGUGGUAGGACUUGAGGCAACCGGUCCCUGGCUGGGAGAGACCGGUUCCCGAACGCGUGUUUUGCGAGAAGCGUUCGAGAGACCGGUCCCUUGCGGGGAGAGAUCGGUUCCCGAACGUUGGUUUUGCGGGGCAGGCUGAGGGACCGGUCCCAGGUGUCGGGGAGACCGGUCCCUCAGCAUGAAAACUGCCCAGACCAGGCAGUGCACAGGUUGCAUUUUAGAGGGACCUAGGUGGAUUUUGUUACAUUUGAAGGCUUAUAGAGCCUUUUCUCUCCCUCUAACCCUCAUUUUCACCCUCCUUACACUUCUAGAGAGAGAAGAAGAAGGAGAAGAAGAAGGAGAAGUUGGAGAGCUAGCUUGAGGGAGCCUUGGAGCAUCUUCCUCUUUCCUAUUUCUCACUUUUGGAGGCUUAGAGCUUGGACUUGGAGCUUUGUGGUGGAUUAAUCUUCAAUCCUAAAACAUUUUGAGCUUGGUUUGGAUCUCCUCUUGAGGUUAGUUGCUUAUUUCUCCCCUUUAGACCUAUUUUUGGUAGAUUUUGGGAGAUGAAACUCUAGAUUUGGAUUUUAGGGUUUAUUUUCGGGAUUUUUGAUUUGAGGGCUUGGAGACCUAAUUGAUGGGUUUAGAACCUUCCUCUAGGUUGGGUUGGAAGGGUUCUUGCCCUCUUUGGAAGCUUGGGCAGGGAUUUCAUCACACGAGGUGAGUUAUGCCCUUUAUGCUUAGAUGGUUUAAGAUUGAGCUUUUUGAUGUUCGUUUCGAUUGUGUAACUCUUGUUCCUACAUCUUUAGGGUGCUAGGAGACUAGUGGACACCUCCGUUCGGCGAAACGAAGAGUUUCGAUUUUCGGUGGGUUUGGCUACAUGAAAACGGGGCGAAAUAGCCCCCAUGUUUUCUAUACUUGUUGUAAUGUCAUUUUAAAUGCAACUCUAUGCUUAAUGGAAAUUAUGUGAAUUUUAGAACACUUAAAAUGCAUGUGUUAUGUAUAAGAAAAUUUGCACUCUAUAUAGUAGAGCAUUCUGGGUAUUGUUACAUGCAUUUGGGUAGUGUUCGCAUUAGUCGUUUGGAAACAUGCUUCAUAUGUUUAAAGUGGCUCAAUUAUCAUUUGUGAACACUUGGGUUAAGCUUGGACUUGUAAAUGAAAGUGUUAUAAAGGGGCACUUAGACUAGCACACUAUGAGACUAUUAUUUUGAGACUUAGAGAUAGGCCAUGGACAUCUACUACUUUUCAUGUUUAAGACAUGAUGACAUAGAGAUAGGCCUAUGAGAAAGUUGUGACAUAUUCCAUGUUGUUAGACAUGAGGACUUAGUACUUGAGACGGAUCUUUCGUUACUUGCCAUUGUGCUCAUUCGCACAUGCUUGUGAGGGUCGCUCCCUACAGCCGGCACCCGGAGAUGGCCAUCGCGAUACAUAUUCCCGUGCGGGAUUGGACGCUGAAGGGAUUGCCGGGGGAAAGGCUCAUUCCUACAGUGGGGAUGUUGACUACCACUGGGCCAUUAGCUCGCACCGCCAGACAUCCUACGGUGGUUCUCAGGGCCAGACAGCCUCGGCGGUCUCUCCCAGAUUUGAUUUGAGCAUUCAUCACGCCAUGUGACAUUGAUUAGAUAUAAACAAUAACAUCUUUACUAUUUGACUUAUGGACAUCAUACACGCGAUGCUUGUACAUUCAUGACGAGAAUAGCUUUUCUUAGUUAUACUAAAUCAUGCUAAGUAGAGAUAUCAUGUGGUAGCAAAUAUUCAAUGUUAUUUACUUGCGUGACCUAUCGUUUUGUUUAUUUUGCUUACUGACACCUUUUUUAGUUUGGGCCUAGUGGUGCAUUCACUGAAGCCAGUAAUUGCCCACUGGGAAUAUUUAUUUUAAUAUCUCACGCCCCCCUGUUUUAUGGUUUUAUUUCAAGCCUUCGCACGCGGCGGAGUCACGGGAUCGCGGCAAGGGAGUCGCGUAGCUAGUUAGCGGGGAGCUACUUUUGAGCUAGUGGUUUACUCUUUCUUAUUGUAUUAGGAAGAGAGAUUUUGAGUAUCAUGUAUAGAGAGACCACCUAUAUACUCUUUAGUUUAGUUUUUGUAUUUAGGAUUUCCUUUGUACUACUUUAUGGCUUUAUUAGUGAUUUCAGUUUUAUACUUACCCCCUGUGUAGAACUUAGUUAAUUACUUUGCUCUGAUAUCGUUAGAUUCCUUUGUUCUACUGCUGUAAUACACUGGAUCUUAGCAAAUUGCAAGAUUCGAUGUGUUUGAUCUGUGUGUGGAGCUUUUCCACAUUUUUGGAGGGUCGUUGUUAGUUGUCCGACCGUGGCACGCACCCGAGGGUGUUGGUUUGAGACGUGGCACCAAAAUCCUAAAUGGAAUUUUUGGUCAGCCUCGAUAGCCUGCAGCAGGGCUUGACCGGAACAAGACCUGGUCUUGUCCGGUACAAGGAGUGAUGGUUGUACCGGUACAGCCAUCGGGCUUGUACCGGUACAGAGACGCAGACCGCGCGACCCGAGCCUCGGGUUUGCAUUUUCGCAGGGCUUGUACCGGUACAAGAGCCCGUGUACCGGUACAAGGAGGCAGAUUUCGUGCAGUUUGAACUGCAGGGGGUUUUUCGCGAUUGUAGCUUAUCUAUUAGUAACCCCACGCCCCUUAGGGCUUCCCUGAGCUUCACAGCAGCAGGAGAAGAGGUAGGGGAGUUCUCCACACCCUCCCUCUCUAUUUCUUUGAUCUUGGUUGGUUUAAUUUUUGAUUUAAGCCUCUCUUUUCCCUCUUUUUGCUUCUUGGUGUUCUCCCUCCAUAGAAGGAGCUUGAAGCUUGGUUUUGGAGCUUGUUUGAGGGGAGAUUUUCAGAUUUUGGGGACUUGAACACUUGUUGGAGGCUUCCAAAGAGUUUAGAAGCUUAAUCUUUUUCUUUGAUCCUUAAUUUAUUGGAUUUCUUGAGAUGAAACCCUAGAUUGUGAUAUUAGGGCUUAUUUUGGGUAUUUUGAAUCUAGGGCUUUUGAAGCUAGAUUGAGUGGAUUAGAGGCUUCCAUUAGGUUGGAUUGGAUGAACCCUAGCUCUCUUUUGGAGCUUUAGAGGAGAUUUUUGCACUAGAGGUGAGUUUUUCUCGCCUAUGCUUGAGUAGCUUAAUGAUUGAGCUAGGUAUUGUUCGUUUUACCCGUAUGACACAUGUUUCUAUACCUCUAGUGUACUAGGAGAUUAGAGGACACCCUCGUUGGAGCGAACGAGGAGUUUCGUCGUCAUCGGUGGGUUUGGCUUCGUGAAAAUGGAGCGAAAUGGCCCCUAUGCUCUUUACACUUGUCGUAAAAUAUUUUUAAGUUCAUUUCUAUGUUACAUGGAAUUUAUAUGAAUUAUAGAACACUUAAAAUGCAUGCCUUGUGUAUUAUGAAAAUUUCACUAUAUAGUAGAGCUAUAUGAGUAGAAUGCAUGCAUACGGGAAAAAUGUUUAUUUUUGCAAGUGAAAAAUACAUCUCUUAUGAGGAUGAUGACUUGGAAUAUGUACUUUGGAACAUAGUUGCCAUGCUUGGAACUUGUUGAACAAAAGUGUCAUUAAGCGGCACUUGGAACUAGCAAACUGUUAAACUGCAACAUAGAGACAUAUUGAUAGGCCACUAUGUAUUUGCUAUAUUCCAUGUUAGAGACAUGAUGACAUAGAGAUAGGCCAUUGAGAUACUUGAUAUAUUCCAUGUUGUUAGACAUGAGGACUUGGUACUUGAGACGGAUCAUUGCUUGCUUGCCAUUUGUGCUCAUUCGCACAUGCUUGUGAGGGUCGCUCCCUACAAGCCGGCACUCCGGAGAUAGCCAUCGCGACAUAUGCUCGCCCGUGCGGGAUUGGGCGCCGAAGUGGAUUGCCGUGGGGGAGGCUCAUCCCUAGAGUGGGGAUGUUGACUACCACGGGGCCAUUAGGCACGGCGCAGGCCAGACAGCCUUCGGGUGGGUCUUAUAUGAUUGGGACUUGGUGACAGAACAUGCUAUGUGAACUUUAUAACUGUUAAAGUGGACUUGGACUAGAAUAGUAAACAAUGACAUCUUUACUAUUACAUUGUGGACUUUGGGUAGUUGCAUAAUCAUGCUUUAUAUGUUGGGUGUUCAUGUGCAUAUAGCUAGUAGUUGCUUCCUUACUUAUGUAAAUUAUGCUAAGUAGAGGUAUCAUGAUUAUUGGGUACUCGUUUAUUUAUUUACUUACAGUGCAUUUAUCGCUUUUGUUAUAAUGUACACUGACCCUUUUUCUAUAGUUUCGGGCCUAGUGGUGCAUUUCACUGAAGUCAGUAAUUGCCCACUGGGAACUAUUUUUAAUAGUUCUCACGCCCCUGUUUCUAUGUUUCCUUUUCAGAGCCUUCGGCACCGGCGGAGGCACGGGAUCGCGGCAAGGGUGUCGCGUAGCUAGCUCGCGGAGAGUUCUUUUGCGCUAGGUGGUUACUCCUCCAUUUUUAUAUUUUGUGAGAGGGGGAGAGGUUUUGUACCAUGUAUAGAGAGACCACCUUGUACUCCUUUUAGCACUUGUUAUGGGAUCCCUAUUGUUCUUACUUUAUGUUUUUACUUAGUGGACUUUCAGCUUUAUGUCCUUUCCUUGUUAUAGAACUAGUUAUACAAUGCUCUGAUAUCUCUAGAUCUCUUGUAUUAUUGUUUGAAAUUUUUGUAGACGCCUUAUAUGUUUUAGACGUAUGGCGGGUCUGGACACGCGCCGGGUAGGCUUUCGCUGAGCCCCGGGGCGUGACAACUGCUUUAUUUAUCGUUUUGUUUUAGACGCCUUGUAUGUUUUAGACAUAUGGCGGGUCUGAGUACGCGCCGGGCGGGCUUCCGCUGUGUCCCGAGGCGUGACAGAUUAGUAUCAGAGCCUAGGGUUGAGUCUUAGUGGACCUAGCAAACCUUAGGCCGGUUGGACUAUAGGAAAUAGGCUCGUGAGGGAUGAGGUCUAUUUGACUUGUAAGCGAAAGUAUCGUGAUUGGGUAUCUUGACAACUUUAGAAAGUGGAGUUAAAUUGAAGUGUAUAGCUCCUAACUUCGCGGAGGGUUACGUUGGCGGCCGACAACGUAACAUCGGGAGUUAGUAGUGAAGUACAUUUCAUUACUUUCGCAUGAUUUGGGGCAUUACCUUCUUGAGUGGGGAUUCGAUGUCGUGAGUUUACUAACUUACGCUUUUAUGAUAUUGUAGUGUGAUACCAAUUACACGCUCCUAAUUUGCCGGAGCGGAUAACGCGGCAAAUCUGGAGGAGGUCGAGACCUCCGCUACCUCCGAAUCCGGCGAGGUUCGAGAGUUGAGGGGCCAGCUUGCGGCCCUCACUGAUAUGGUGGCACAGCAGACUGAGGCGGCGCGCCGAUAGGAGGCGCGGAUGAAGCGCCUGGAGGAUCUUCUGUUACAGCAGGCGGCGGCUUCCAGGGAGACUCAGGCCCCUACACCGCCAGCACCAGUCGUGAACGUCGCGCCGAGAGCGCCAUCCCCUCGCCCAGUUCUUCACGUGCAGCGCUCGCGGUCGCGCCUUAGGAGGAGGCUAUUGCGACACCACCUGAGGCCUCCGGUUGGAGCAGCUUUUCCUACCUUGGUCGAGGGAGCGGAAAGGGACAGACUGAUGGAACGCCUCAACGAGUUCAAGAGGUGCAGUCCUCGGAUCUUCGAUGGCGAGAAGGUCGACCACUGGAUCGUGGAGAAGUGGUUGAUGCAUAUGGAGAAGCUCUUCCGCGACACCUUCGUGGAGGAGAGAGAUCGAGUUUGGCUCACCACACACCAUUUGGACGGCGAGGCCUACCGCUGGUGGGUGGAUCUCCAGGAGAACCCCAGCACUGAUUUGGCGGCUAUUACGUGGAAGAGGUUCAAGGAGCUUCUUUUGACACACUACUUCCCGACCAGCGUCAAGAGGAAGAUGGAGCAGGAUCUGCGCAACUUGCGCCAAGGUGAUCGGACUGUGGCCGAGUACGAGCGGGAGUUUUCUCGGCUUCUUCACUGCGUGCCUUUCAUCGUGCGAGACGACGAGGACAAGGCCCGCAUCUUCGAGCCAGGGUUGCGACCGUCGAUCUUUCGGUUUGUGCAAUCCUCUAAUCUCCAAACCUAUCGGGAGGUGGUGGAUCGCGCGCUCAUAGUGGAGAGCGGCGCAGCAGAGGUCCAGGAGCGGCAAGAGGCGAUGGACAAAGGUAAGGCCAAGAGGCCUGCGGCAAAGGGUGCGAGCCAGACGCACUCUAGGAGGCCGCCGAAGCAUCCUAGGAGCCAGCAGCGUGGACGCGGCUCAGCAGCGCAGCGAGGAGGUUCUGACCGUCGCCGGCCUUACCCGUGUGUGAUCUGCGGUGGUCCUCAUUUCCCACCGCAGUGUCCACAGCGGGUGGGCAGGUGCUUCCAGUGUGGCCAGGAGGGCGACGUUCGGACUGAGUGCCCGAGAGGUCCUUCACUAGCACCGUCGACUACAUCGGCACCGGCUCUACCAGCCGUCAGCCAUGGGACUCCGUCGACACAGUACCAGCUUGAGCGGCCACCCGUCGAGCGCCAGAGCGAGGGAUUUCGACAGGCCCCGAGUGGGCAUUUGUAUGCCGCUCAGACCGAGCAGGCGGCAGCAGCCAAGAAUGUGAUUGCAGGUAUCAUUUUACUUCAUGGCAUUAGAGUUCGUGCUUUAUUUGAUACCGGUGCAUCGCAUUCAUUUAUAGAUCGGUUGUUUGCCGAGUUGCAUGGCAUCCCUAUAUUUUCUUUGUUGCAUCCGGGACGUGUAGUUGUCCCCGACCACUCUUUGGAUAUUAGAGAGUAUUGUCCCAGUUGCUCUAUUUGGGUAGGAGAUUGGAUCAUGCCCGUAGAUUUGCUAGCCCUGUGCAAGCUAGGGGAUUUCGAUGUGGUCUUGGGUAUGGAUUGGCUAACCAAGUAUUAUGCCACGAUUGAUUGUAAGAAUCGCACGGUUACUUUUAAAGAACCGGGGCAGACUGAGGUUGUGUUUAGUGGAUGCCGGAGUUCGCUUUUUGCGAUGUCGAUCAGCUCGUCUCGAGCUAGGCAGCUGAUCAGCCGAUGAUGUGUAGCUUACUUGGCUAGUGUUGUAUUGAGGGGCGAGGAUGACACCCCUAGGAUUGAGGAUAUCCCGGUGGUACGGGAGUUCCAGGACGUGUUUCCAGCUGAGCUACUGGGUAUGCCACCCGAUAGGGAGAUUGAGUUUGUGGUAGAUCUCGUCCCUGGGACUACCCCAAUCUCGAAGGCACCCUAUAGGAUGGCACCGGCGGAGCUGAAGGAGCUGAGGGCACAGCUACAGGAUCUGUUGGACAAGGGCUUCAUUCGACCGAGCGUCUCGCCGUAGGGAGCGCCAGUUUUGUUCGUCAAGAAAAAGGACGGAUCACUUCGCCUAUGUGUGGAUUAUCAUGAGCUUAAUAAAGACACGAUCAAGAAUAAGUAUCCGUUGCCGAGGAUCGAUGACUUGUUUGAUCAGCUUCAAGGAUCAUGUGUGUAUUCCAAGAUAGACUUGCAGUCGGGAUACCACCAGUUAAAGAUCAAACCCGAGGAUGUAUCGAAGACGGCUUUUAGAACACGGUAUGGACACUAUGAGUUCACAGUUAUGCCGUUUGAGCUUACUAAUGCUCCGAUAGCUUUUAUGGAUCUGAUGAACCGUGUUUUUAAGCCUUAUCUAGACAGGUUCGUCGUGGUAUUCAUCGACGACAUUUUGGUUUAUUCCCGAAGUGAUGCGGAUCACGAGGAGCAUUUGAGGCUAGUACUUCAAUUACUUCGGGAAAAGGAGCUUUAUGCCAAGCUGAGAAAGUGUGAAUUUUGGCUUCGAGAAGUAGCCUUUCUUGGACAUUUGAUAUCGAGAUCGGGUAUAGCCGUGGAUCCUAAGAAGAUUGAGGCUAUCAAGGAUUGGCCGAGACCGACGAGUGUCACGGAGAUACGCAGCUUCCUUGGAUUGGCCGAUUACUACCGGAGAUUUGUCGAGGGGUUUGCUAAGCUAUCUACUCUCCUCACGAGGCUCACGCAUAAAGGUGUCAAGUUCAUUUGGAAUGAUGCGUGUGAGAGAAGCUUCCAAGAGCUGAAGCAACGACUGACGACCGCCCCGAUCCUGACCCUACCUGUUGCUGGAGCAGGGUAUGUGGUUUAUAGUGAUGCAUCUCUUAAUGGAUUGGGCUGCGUUUCGAUGCAGGAUGGCAAGGUGAUCGCGUGUGCUUCUCGCCAACUGAAGGAAUAUGAAAAGAAUUACCCUACACACGAUUUGGAGUUGGCGGCCGUAGUUUUCGCAUUGAAGUUAUGGCGCCAUUACUUAUAUGGCGAGCGGUGUGAAGUAUACAUGGAUCACAAGAGCUUGAAGUAUUUGUUCACUCAGAAGGAGUUGAACUUGAGACAGCGCAGAUGGUUGGAGCUGCUCAAGGAUUAUGAUUUGACUAUUCUUUACCACCCGGGCAAGGCUAAUGUAGUGGCGGAUGCGCUAAGUAGGAAAUCUACGGAAAACUUAGCGAUGCAUGUUGUUACUCAACUGCAGUUGAUCGAGCAGAUGAAGCGGUUGGAGUUGGAGUUAGUGACUCCUGAUACACUUUUGAGAUUAAUGACCUUGGUAGUGCAACCUAUGCUCUUGGAUAGAAUUAAAGAGAAGCAAGCUUCUGAUGUGGAGUUGCAAAGGAUUAAAGGUAAAAUGGUUGAUGGUUGUACCGGCGACUACCUUGUGGAUGACCAAGGAUUUACGCGUUUUCGUGGACGGACUUGUGUACCGGCGGAUUCGGAAAUUAAAGAGGAUAUUCUUCAAGAAGCGCACCGAGCGCCCUAUGCUAUACAUCCGGGAGGCAUCAAGAUGUACAAGGACUUGAAGUUGCUUUAUUGGUGGCCCGGGAUGAAAAAGGACGUUUGUGAGUUUGUCGCUCGUUGUCUAACUUGCCAACAAGUAAAGGCUGAGCAUCGAUUAUCCGCGGAAAAACAUCAGAGCUUGCCUAUUCCCGUGUGGAAGUGGGAAAAGAUUACCAUGAAUUUCGUAACUGGAUUGCCCCGCUGUCAGGCCGGGCAUGAUGUUAUAUGGGUGAUCGUGGAUAGGUUGACGAAGUCGGCGCACUUCAUACCUAUUCAUACUACUUGGACCGGAGAAAAGCUCACACAAGUGUACCUUGAUGAGAUUGUGCGACUUCACGGAGUACCUACAUCGAUAGUAUCGGAUCGAGACACUCGGUUUGUGUCUCACUUUUGGAGGAGUCUACAGGACGCCUUGGGCACCCGACUCAACUUGAGCACUGCUUUCCACCCUCAGAGUGAUGGGCAGUCGGAGCGCACCAUUCAGACUUUAGAGGAUAUGCUCCGAGCGUGUGUGAUAGACUUUCAGGAAUGAUGGUCGCAACAUCUACCUAUGGCAGAGUUUGCUUAUAACAACAGUUAUCAAGCAAGCAUUAAGAUGGCGCCAUUUGAAGCACUUUAUGGACGGAAGUGUAGAUCACCACUUCAUUUGAGUGAAGUCGGCGAGAGAUUGGCAUUAGGCCCUGACGUGCUCCAGGAAGCUGAGGACAAGGUUCGAAUUGCUCGGGAGUGACUUUUGACGGCAUAGAGUAGACAGAGGAGCUACGCCGACCGACGACGGCGAGACUUGGAGUUCUAAGUUGGAGACCAUGUUUUCUUGAAGGUCUCGCCGACUAGAGGGAUCAAGAGAUUUGGGAUUCGGGGUAAGUUAAGCUCCCGUUUCAUCGGACCGUAUGAGAUUUUGGAACGUGUAGGUCCGGUAGCGUAUCGACUUGUUCUACCACCGAACCUAUCGGGCAUGCACAACGUCUUUCAUGUAUCGGUCAUUCAGAAGUACGUCUUCGAUCCGACUCAUGUGUUGGAUGCUACACCUGUGGAGUUGCAGGACGAUUUGAGUUUCGAGGAGCAACCCGUGAAGAUUUUGGCUCGUGAGGUGAAAAAGCUGCGGAAUCGGGAUAUUCCGUACGUGAUGGUUCUUUGGAGCAACCACGGGGAGCGGGAGGCCACGGGGGAGCUAGAGAGGCGCUGUGGGAGCGCUAUCCCCAUUUUUUUCAGAUGGAGCUUUGAGGUAUGCUGUCGUUUUGAGUUUUGCGAGCGAAACUCCUUUUUAGGAGGGCUGAAUGUAACACACUGGACCUUUGCAAAUUGCGAGGUUCGAGUGUUUGAUAUGUAUUCCGAACUUUUUCACACUUGGUGGAAGGUCGUAGAUAGUAUUCCGGUCUAAAAGUUCGAUCGCUAGAGUUUUGGCAAGUCUUGAGAGUUUUCACUCUCGGGGACCGGUCCCCUCAGAACAGUGCUGCGGCAGGACUUGAGGCAACCGAUCCCUAGCUGGGAGAGACCGGUUCCCGAACGCGUGUUUUGCUAGAAGGGUUCGAGAGACCGGUCCCUGGCGGGGAGAGACCAGUUCCCGAACGUUGGUUUUGCGGGGCAGGCUGAGAGACCGGUCCCAGGUGUCGGGGAGACCGGUCCCUCAGCACGAAAACUGUCCAGACUGGGCAGUGCACAGGUUGCAUUUUAGAGGGACCUAGGUGGAUUUUGUUACAUUUGAAGGCUUAUAGAGCCUUUCCUCUCCCUCUCACUCUCAUUUUCACCCUCCUUACACUUCUAGAGAGAGAAGAAGAAGGAGAAGAAGAAGGAGAAGUUGGAGAGCAAGCUUGACGGAGCCUUGGAGCAUCUUCCUCUUUCCCAUUUCUCACUUUUAGAGGCUUAGAGCUUGGACUUGGAGCUUUGUGGUGGAUUAAUCUUCAACCCUAAAACAUUUUGAGCUUGGUUUGGAUCUCCUCUUGAGGUUAGUUGCUUAUUUCUCCCCUUUAGACCUAUUUUUGGUAGAUUUUGGGAGAUAGAAUCCUAGAUUUGGAUUUUAGGGUUUAUUUUGGAGAUUUUUGAUUUGAGGGCUUGGAGACCUAAUUGAUGGGUUUAGAACCUUCCUCUAGGUUGGGUUGGAAGGGUUCUUGCCCUCUUUGGAAGCUUGGGCAGGGAUUUCAUCACAAGAGGUGAGUUAUGCCCUUUAUGCUUAGAUGGUUUAAGAUUGAGUUUUUGAUGUUCGUUUCGAUUGUGUAACUCUUGUUCCUACAUCUUUAAGGUGCUAGGAGACUAGUGGACACCUCCGUUCGGCGAAACGAAGAGUUUCGAUUUUCGGUGGGUUUGGCUUCAUGAAAACGGGGCGAAAUAGCCCCCGUGUUUUCUAUACUUGUCGUAACGUCAUUUUAAAUGCAACUCUAUGCUUAAUGGAAAUUAUGUGAAUUUUAGAACACUUAAAAUGCAUGUGUUAUAUAUAAGAAAAUUUGCACUCUAUAUAGUAGAGCAUUCUGGGUAUUGUUACAUGCAUUUGGGUAGUGUUCGCAUUAGUCGUUUGGAAACAUGCUUCAUAUGUUUAAAGUGGCUCAAUUAUACAUUUGUGAACACUUGGGUUAAGCUUGGACUUAGUAAAUGAAAGUGUCAUAAAGGGGCAUUUAGACUAGCACACUAUGAGACUAUUGUUUUGAGACUUAGAGAUAGGCCAUGGACAUCUACUACUUUUCAUAUUUUAGACAUGAUGACAUAGAGAUAGGCCUAUGAGAGAGUUGUGACAUAUUCCAUGUUGUUAGACAUGAGGACUUAGUACUUGAGACGGAUCUUUCGUUACUUGCCAUUGUGCUCAUUCGCACAUGCUUGUGAGGGUCGCUCCCUACAAGCCGGCACUCCGGAGAUGGCCAUCGCGAUACAUAUUCGCCAUGCGGGAUUGGGCGCCGAAGUGGAUUGCCAUGGGAAAGGCUCAUUCCUAGAGUGGGGAUGUUGACUACCACGGGGCCAUUAGGCUCGGCACCGGCCAGACAGCCUACGGGUGGGUCUCAGGGCCAGACAGCCUUCGGGCGGGUCUCUACAGAUUUGAUUUUGAGCAUUCAUCACGCCAUGUGGACAUUGAUUAGAAUAGUAAACAAUGACAUCUUUACUAUUUGAUUUAUGGACAUCAUACUAACGAUGCUUGGGUACAUUCAUACGAGAAUAGCUUUUCUUACUUAUGCAAAAUCAUGCUAAGUAGAGAUAUCAUGUGGUAGCAAAUAUUCAUAUUUAUUUACUUGUCGUACCAAUCGUUUUUGUUUAUUUUGCUUACUGACCCCUUUUUAGUUUGGGCCUAGUGGUGCAUUUCACUGAAGCAAGUAAUUGCCUACUGGGAACUAUUAUUCAAUAGUUCUCACGCCCCCUGUUUUAUGGUUUUAUUUCAGAGCCUUCGGCACCUGCGGAGGCACGGGAUCGCGGCAAGGGAGUUGCGUAGCUAGUUAGCGGGAAGCUACUUUUGAGCUUAGGUGGUUUACUCUUUCUUUUAUUGUAUUAGAAAUAGAGAGAGAUUUUGAGUACCAUGUAUAGAGAGACCACCUAUAUACUCUUUAUGUUUAGUUUUUGUAUUUGGGAUUUCCUUUGUACUACUUUAUGGCUUUAUUAGUGGAUUUCAGUUUUAUACUUACCCCCCCUGUGUAGAACUUAGUUAAUUACUUUGCUCUGAUAUCGUUAGAUUCCUUUAUUCUACUACUUUAUUUAUCAUUUUGUUUUAGACGCCUUGUAUGUUUUAGACAUAUGGCGGGUCUGGGCACGCGCCGGGUGGGCUUCCGCUGGGUCUCGGGGCGUGACACACUCAUCCAUAUUAUAGUGUCUCUAUUAUACUAGUCCAAAUGCCACUCAUCUAGGCCAUUUACAUGUCCAAGUUCAUCAUCAUUAUUGUCACUAUAGGAUUCUUGUCACAAGACCCAAUCCUUAUGUAACCUAAGAUCAAGUAUCAAGCCCACAAUGCUACACAACCUAGGUAACAUGCAAGGAAUGGAAAUGCAAUCAUCUACUAAUCCUAUAAUGCACAAUGUAUCAACAUAUGAGAAUAUGAUCAAAUACAUAGAACUUAGACAUAAAAGGAAACCCGGUUGCUUCGGGAUGGACACCCCCCACCUUUAGGACACCCCACCUUUAGGUGAUGUCUCGAUGCUAUGAUUCCGGUUUCGUGAUUUUUGUAAGCUUACGCCGCGAGUUGCGGCAAUCUAUACCGAAAUCGGCCUUUUCUUCAAUAUCUUCACGUAGGCUCGACGAAUCGCCGAACCGACUUCACCAACGCGUUCGUAUACCUAGCAAUUAGGUUUGUGUAGGGUUAAUUUAGAUCAAACCCUACUAGAUAGCUAAACCCUAUUUUUGGAGCCCUAAAACCCCAUUAUUGCGAAGUCCUUCGUCUAGCUCAUUACUCUUGCAAUAAAUGGAAAUAGCCACAUCUAGGGGUCCAUUAAAUUCCACUCCUAGGGUUUAUAAACCCAUCCUUAGCAUUCUACCAUGAGAGGGGUUAAAGAGCUUACCUCUACAAGCUAUUCCUCCCAAGCUAAGGAAGAAGAUAGUGAUGAUGCUCCACCUCCAAGCUCUAAUCUCCUCCUUUCUCCUCCUCUUGCUUUCCUCCUUGAAGAGAGAGAGAGAGAGAGAGACACCUUAGAGAGAGAGAGAGAGAGAGUUUAGGGUUGAGGGAAUGAGAGAAAAUGAGAGAGACAUCCCUCAUAUAACUCCCCCUUAUAGCCAAAUUGCCAAAAACCCCCUAAACUAUCCAAACUGCACUAAACUCGGCAUUUUAGGGUCUCGGAGACUGGUCCUUGGCUUGAGGGACCGGACCCCGUAGGUCUAAAAAUUCUGCAUUUCCAGACUUAGCUAAAAUUUCAGUCUUUUCGUCAAUUUUGGUCCGUUUUCGCUCAUUUUCGCUCCGUGGGUCUCCGAUUCAUUUCAAAUCGAACCGAGGCUCUUAAAACAUGAUUUCGAGCGCGUUUACAUCAUCUUUUCAUCCACGCUAAUGCUGGAUUUAGUCCAUAGUCCAACAUAGCCUUUCGGGUCCCUUUUUGCGCCUACGCGCUCCGAAAACACCCGAAUGCUUCCGAACUUCACCGAACCAUUCUAAUGGCUUUCCAAACCAACAUACCCCAUAACUUCAUAACUUUAGAAGUUUGGUAUGUUACACAUUGAGGUUCUCAUUCCUUACAGUAGCGGUAGUUGCAUUCUAUAUCCUGCUUUUCUAUUGAUAUUGCUACUGUAUUAUUGUUCAUAGAUAUCUUUAGUUACCAGUGAGUACGCUCGCCUUCGUCGGCUUGCGGUACCCACUGGGAGAUCUUUUGUUGGUUUCUCACCCUCCCCCCCCCCCCCCCCCCCCCCCCCCCCCCCCCCCCCCCCCCCCCCCCCCCCCCCCCCCCCCCCCCCCCCCCCCCCCCCCCCCCCCCCCCCCCCCCCCCCCCCCCCCCCCCCCCCCCCCCCCCCCCCCCCCCCCCCCCCCCCCCCCCCCCCCCCCCCCCCCCCCCCCCCCCCCCCCCCCCCCCCCCCCCCCCCCCCCCCCCCCCCCCCCCCCCCCCCCCCCCCCCCCCCCCCCCCCCCCCCCCCCCCCCCCCCCCCCCCCCCCCCCCCCCCCCCCCCCCCCCCCCCCCCCCCCCCCCCCCCCCCCCCCCCCCCCCCCCCCCCCCCCCCCCCCCCCCCCCCCCCCCCCCCCCCCCCCCCCCCCCCCCCCCCCCCCCCCCCCCCCCCCCCCCCCCCCCCCCCCCCCCCCCCCCCCCCCCCCCCCCCCCCCCCCCCCCCCCCCCAUUUCAGGUGACGUUGCCGGUCCGAGUCGGGACGAGGUAUGAGGCACGUUCUUAGUGGUCGAUAAAGUUCCGGCCCGGUUCACAUUGGUUUAGUUCUAACCCUAUCCUCUCAGAAUAAAUGACUUAGACAUUUUAUGGUUCAGUUGACUUUAUUUCAGUUGGAUAUAUAUGGUUUUGUGAGGUUAAAUAAUAUUGUUUUAUUUAUUAUCACAUGAGUUGUGAAAAUAGUUUCCUACCCUCGUGAUAGCGUUUUAAAGAAAAUGUUUCCGUGUGGAAAAUGGUUUUUAAAAGGUUUUCUUGUGGAAAUGUAAAUGUAUGCUGUGUGUGAAUGAUUUGUGAUUGUACUUGUACUCGUACGACGCUAUGCAAAUAUAGGCGAGACUCUGUCCGUGUGAAUAGUGAUUUUUUUGUAUUUGUGGCGGGUCUGUUAUCCCUUGGGUCAAGGUUUUCAAAAUAAAAAUAUUGGGCAUUUUUUCGUUGAUUUUACAGACUAAAAAGGGACCCCAAGGCGUGAUACCCGAGGGGAUAGGGAGCUGCAGAUAGAGUUCAGUCGUGUAGCAUCCCUGUAGGUAGAGGAGGCCGGUGGCGACGACAGCAUGGUGGUGGGGAAGCGACAACGGCUCGGUUGGAGGGGCUCAACCCGACAUCAAGCUCGGGUUGGUCUACGAGCUCGAGGAGGGGGAAAGGGGGGCGACGCUGCGGUGAUGGAGAGAGGGGUUGCCUCGCUGGAGUUCCCCUGAGGUUGACCACAGUGGUGAUGAUGGCGACGGCUGGGGGCAAGCCCCAGAGAAGGGGGAAAGGCCUGAGAGGGGGAGGGAGGGAAAGAGAUAAAGAGAGAAAAAGACAGAGAGAGGGCCUAUGGCUCGAGGUUCCUCGUUGGCCAAAAAGUCGCCCGAAGAGGGGAAAAAAGAGGCGGCGUGGCGGCGACUGAGGAGGAGAGGGGAGAGGGCAAUAGACAUAGGGUUAGGGUUUCUAUUCCAAUACGUAUAUACAUAUGUAUAAAUAUAGUAAUAUAUAUAUAUAUAUAUAUAUAUAUAUAUAUAUAUAUAGUCCGGCUACUAUGCUAUCGGUAGCACGAAGCGCUUCGUGCUACCAAGUUGUUUUCGAAUGAUGCGGCUUCCAAAUCGACGAUCGGUUCCGUUAGACUUGAUCUACACUAUGAAAGUAUUUGGAAACAAAAUUUCAAUUUUUUCGACAUCAUUUGACUAGUGAUCAAAAGAUCUCAAAUCGACAAUUUUAAUGGCCGAUUGUGGUGUUUUGUGAGUUUAACGGUGUAAAACAAUCAAUGCAAUGAAAAUUUUAUAGAAUUUUUUUUUUUCACUAUUUAGAGUAAGAUCAGUAUAUCUGAUCUUGAAUUUAAAUCUUUUAUCAUCAUUUCUCAUGAGAUUUUUUUUCAGCUGUUCAUUUUAGACUACUUGUUUGAUGGUAAAUAUAUCGAAAAAAUCUGAAAUUUAGUUUCCAAAUACUUUCAAUAGUGUAGAUCAAGUCUAACGGAACCGAUCGUCGAUUUGGAAGCCGCAUCAUCGAAAACAACUUGGUAGCACAGAGCGCUCCGUGCUAUCGAUAGUAUAGUAGCCUAGUUCUAUAUAUAUAUAUAUAUAUAUAUAUAUAUAUAUAUAUAUAUAAACCCCUUUGUGCACAAAUUACAAGUAGGCCCAGAAGUUAGCCUCUCUUAUCCGAAACCCCACAGAAUUGUACUUUUACAGGAAAGCCUUUCUUGCAACCAAUUUUUGCAAAUGCGCAAGAAAAUUGCAUCUUUUUGCGAAAAGAUCCAACAUCCACUUCUCUCUCUCCUUUUCAACUCUGUGUUGUUUUGCACAGAAGUAUCAGAAUUUCGCAAAACUUGAAUUAGCAUGUUUCUCUCUAAGUGCCCUUUCAUUUGAACCCAUCCACUCGCCAACACUCCACAGUUUCUCAUAUGAAAUGAUAGCCUCAACAAGAAGUGCUCUAAUUUCACAAAUUGCUAAAACUGCAAUUUAAUCCCUCUAUGUUCAGAAUUUCAUACUAAAAAUUUACCACUAUGUGCAUCUCGCACAGAUGCACCUACUCGUGGAGUUUCACGCAAUUCGGCACAUGAAAUGUUGUACCUUUUCCAAAAAAACCCAAUUUGCCAAAAUGGCCAAUCUAUGAUGAGAACAGAUUUUCUUGAAAAUCGUGCAUCGGACGUAAAAUCCAUCAGUGCCAUUGGGUCUGACAUAGUCGGACCUUCAAAAAUGAGCUAUUGGAUCAUGCGAAAUAGAGUCUGGUACGCGACAGAAGCCAUCUACACUCAAUAGCCUCUUCCGAAAAUACAAGUUACUAUUCACUUUAAGUGAAAAGUAAUAUUCUCAUAAAAUCUUUAUUUUAAUUUAUUUUUUUUUGAAAUUUGAUGGAUAGUUUUAAGUUAAAAUAUAUAUGAUAACAUUUAAAAGGAUGUCAAAUUUAUAUAGAAAAAAAAUCUCAGUCCUCACACCUAUAAAAGAGGUUAUAGAGAUUAAAAAUGUUCGGUCCUCAAAUAAUGAUGUUGGUGACUUAGUGUCUGAAACUUUGUUGUAAUUUCUCAGUCGACCUUUUAAAUUAUUACAAUCCAGUCUGACAACCUAGUUUAGCUAAUUAAAUAUUGGCACAUUGUUGAUGCAAAAUUAAUGUAGCAUUUUAAUUAUUGGUGUAUAUAUCAUCGAUCACAAUAAUGUAUAUUACUUAUACAUCAGCGGUAUAUAAAUAUUUAGUCAUGUAAAUUAGGUUAUAGAACUUUAUUACAGCAAUUCUAAAAGUUCGAGUUAGAAGUCACAGUAAUUUAAAGUUUAAGGAUCAAAAUAUCAUCCACAUUAUAGUUUAAGGAUGGAAUGUGCAGUUACACUAAAUAGAAGUAAUACACGAUCAUAUAGAAGCUUUGCUUUACAAGUCUUAAAAUAUUAUACUUCUAUUCUAGGCUAAGUGAUGAAGUUUUGGAAGUGGUAGAGAAAAUUCUCUAUGGACCACUAAUUAAUACCGCGCAGGUUUACAAAUAUACCACUCUUAUUUGAGAGAGUGUUUUUCUUUGUGUGAAGGAUAUUGCAUGAGAUUAAUAGCAAGUCAAUUCUUUUCCGAACAUCAAACUAACUUUAAUUUGGAAAGAUAAAAAGAUAAAUCUUAGGAUUUAUUUGGCUCUACUGUAAAGUAUCAUAUUAUAUCUCAGAUAUUGAAGAAGAUUUAAAUCAAAAUUUUCUUUGGCCAGGCAUUUUAAUCUAGUGCUGUUAAAAAUAGUAAUGCAAAAUACAGAGUUGCAUCAUAGAAGAAUGCUUUAGAGCUGGUGUUUGGUUGAUUUUAUUGUAAAAGUAUUGUAAAGUGUAGAAAGAUAUUUGAUAAAUAUUCUGCUGAUGUGCUGUGGAGUGCUUAUAAAGUUAAAAUUACUAAAAUACCCAUCAUUCUAAUUUUCCAAAUAAUAAAAUUUUUAAAGGACAAAAUGCAAAAAAGAUAGGUCAAUUUGCAUAAAAAAUCCACUAGUUUUGUAAUUUUGCAAAAGUGGGCCGCUAUUUUGGUUUUGCAGAUUCAGGCCGAAUUUUCAACAAACUGACCAAAAUACCCUUCUUCCUUUCUCUUUCUUUUCUUUCCUUCGUUUUUUUUUUUUUUUUUCUCUUUUCAAUCCUCAUCACCUCCUCCACUAUCUCUGGCAAUGAUAGUGAGGGCGGCACCACUUCCUCUGUAAGGACUGAGACUUUUGCAGUGUAGCUAAACUCUCAGUUGACGAUGUUUUUGUGUGUAAUUUAAUUACAAAAGCACUCGUCAAAUUUCGGGAGAAAACGAGUUAAAACGGAAAUUCUACGCGAUUUCCAAGUUUCACUUAAAGUGAAUAGUAACUCGAUUUUCCGGAGAAGCCACGGUGUGAAGUUGGCUUCAGGCUCGUAUCAGACUCCGUUCCUAGCGGUCCAAUAGCUCGUUUCGACCGGUUCAGCUGUUCUGGAACUAAUGGAGCUGACGGAUUUUGAGUUCGACGCACGGAUUUCGAGAAAAUCCAAAAAUACAUAUUCUAUAUGUAUUUAGGUGUGUUUUCUUCUAUUGGUAGAAGGGUUGGAUUUUGUCGUGAAUCCGUAGUCGAUCGAGACGAAACGAGAUUGUAGCUUUGUUGUCUCCGUCGUGCUGAUCGUACUGGUACGAUCCGUUUGCAAAUCUGACGGACGGAUCUGCGGCAAUUGCAUGUUGUUCGAGGAGAGGUCGGUUGUGGCAAAACGGUAUUUUCGCAAAAGUCGCNAAUCAUAAUUUAGAAAAAUAGCAUAUUUUACUUAUGAAGCAAAUUUUCUUAUAAUAUAAAAAAAUAUCUUUGAAGGCCAAAUACGAAAUUGUUAUAUUACAACUGCGAUUACAUUUUCCUUGUCUAUUAAAUAUUAUAUACUACGUGAAUAAAUCGAUAUACUAAAUAAAAUAUUCAUACAUUCAGAAAGAUCAUAAGGAAUAUAUAUAAUAGGAAACAAUUAUUUCAUGCCCCAUGGAUAUUCGUAUAUUUUUAAUUUCAUGAUCGCUGCUCUAAUUCCAAAUUUAAUUAUAAGGAUUAAAUGCAUCACAACUAUCAAAAUUUUUUUCUUAUUUGCAAAUGGUCAUCUAAACUUAUAAAAUUUUCUAUGUUCCAUGUAGCAUUCAAAAUUUUGCACUUGGCCAUCUAGGUUUAUUUUUUAACAUAUUAAAGUGGGUAAUUUUAGCCACCUGAUCAAGAAAUUAUAAAGGACAAAUGCCGGCAAUAUACAAGAUUUAUUUGACAUCGAAAUUCAGUCUUAUGUGUUGGGAAUUUAAUGGUCGUUCUUCAUACGCUACCAACGCAGAUGCACAAAAAAAGAAAAAGAAAUAAAUGGUAAAAGAAAUAAAUGAAGAAACAAAAAUUUAAGAUUUAUGUGGUUUGACAAUUUUCUACAUCCAUGCGGAGAGCGAGAGAGAUAUAUUCCACUAUAUGAAGAAAUAAAAAAAAAGUACAAGCUUAAAGCUUAUAUUUUCUCUAGAUAAAAAAAAAUUAGGAGCCUUUUGGUGAUUCCCACUUUUCUCUUAUUCCAACAAAAACUCCUCCAAAUAUCAAAUAUCUCAUCUCAGCCCAAAACGAGCAGUUUUGGUUGCUCAGAACCCAUAUCCAGGCAUUCGAAACCUUUCAAACAGUGUCCUUCGGGUGCUUCCUCUCGCUGCCUUUCAUCAGUCCAAAUCUGGCAGUAAUUGCGCCCGGACCAAUUCGGUCGUCCGGAACCUGCGCUCGAAACCGUGCUGAGUCACCUGUACAUGUAUACCCUAUCACCUGUCAAAUCACUGUGCUUAACUUUUGGGCCGCUACAGUGCCGAAUUCGGAUAGCCCAAAGGAGGGUCCUGAAUCACCAAAAUCCACUCCUCACAAUGUCUUGGCACCCUAUACCACUUUCAGGCAUCAGUAAAUGCAUAUAUCAAUAUGGUUUGAAUUGAUUUCAAUUUUUGAGUCCGUUUUCGUGUUAUAUUUUGCACCAAAAUAGCUCCAACUCAAUCUAGCAUUCUAAAAACAUGCGGACUAGCAAUACAUACUGCAACCUUGUCUAUUUGCGAAGGUUCAAUGAUCAAAAUAUAUGCUAUGAUUUUAUUUGUAUCAUAAUUAAUGACAUUGCUCUACUAUCUAUAAACUUAUCUAUAAAUUUAUAUAUUAAUCCUCGUGGAAAAGUCCACGUGUCAAAUUUUACUUUACUUAAGCCUUAUAGAUGUGGGAACCACCUUAUGUUUAUUAUCUGCCUCAUACUUAAUUAAUAGAAGUGUGAAUCCACCCCACAACGAAACGAUGCCGAGCGAAACAGUGGCAUCGUUUCCAACUCCGACUCUUUGUAGCCCUCACCCUCAUCUCACCCUUCGGUUCACCGAAACCCUAAUUGUGAUCCUAGAUUUCUCGCCUUCGCCACCUCUCCUACUUGGAUAGGAGCCUUCGUCUCUGCCUCUGCAUCCUCACCUCCUCUGCCUUCGCGGUGCUAUCAGAGGCUGUCGAAAAGUCGAAAAGGCCAAGAGAGACAGUGGAUAAGGAGAAGAAGAAGAAGAGGAAGGCGAGGGGAAGGUCACAGAAGGGGCAAGGGGAGGGGACAAAAGGACUAUGCUUGGUCUCCAAACACAGCCUCCUCCUCCCACUGCACGAGCUAUAGACACUUGGCAGCCUUCGGCUCAACACUUGCAUCGGAAUUCAGUACCUAUCUUCGUGGCUCACGAUGACCGGUUUGAUACCGCUGUACAACCUCAUGGAGGACAUCGCGACGACAGAUAUCAAUAUGGUGCAGAACAGACAGUGGAUUAGAUAUGGAGUUUAUGUGGAUGCGAACCAUUGUGCUCUGUCAAAAUGUUAGGCUCCUCCGUCGCCUUCGAUGCCGCGCUUUUGAGGCUUCAAUAGAUAUUGCGACUCUCCGAAUUCUUCUCCAAACUUUAAGAUAAUUGCUCCUUUCCCAUUUCUCUCUCUCUAUAAUCUAUGUUAUAAUAUGUUUUAGUCAAUUAAGGUUUCAGGACUUGGGUCUUUGGCAUUAGAUUUUUCUAUUAUGGUUUGUAUUAGAUUUAUUGCUAGGAUUCUAAUCCUCCAUUGAAAGUGAUUAUGCUUAAGUUUUUUUUGUGAAUUUUGUGUCACGCCCUGGAUUACCGCGUUUCCCUGGGCACGCCAACAGACCUGCCUGCUGGAUUUGUGCUUAACGAUGAAGGUGUGUAUAACCUCCACUCUAUGAGGCUCAUUUGCUAUUUUGGGGACAGUAAGACCGGCUGGGAGAGGGGCCGUAUAAGCACAGUCGAUGUCAUUUAGAGCAAUAGAGUGAGCGGAAGCAGUGAGACUACGAGGCACUUAUUCGAUGCAGUGAGACUAUGAGGCACAUAGGAAUUUUUCGUGUAUACAAAGCGAUAGCUGUACCUGUAAUCACAACAUAACUACAACCAAUAGUAUAGAGCUGCUAAACUAAAAAAAUAGAGAUAUAUAUAAAACCACGAGGGGUUCCUGUACAUACAAAAUGUCUACAACCCAACUCGCUCCAACGAGUACAACGACAACAUCGCAGUAUGUACAAAGAAAGCCCAAAACUACCUCUAAAUAGGUGCUCCUCUAACUGGCAACGAUACUGGUAGGGAUCUAGCUCACGACUCCCUUCCCACGGUCCGAAUCAGCGACGGCAACAGCCACGGACGAAGGCUCUACAAAAAGGGGUCAACAACUGGGUGUGAAAACUACUGCAAAACAGAGUAGUUCUUAGUGGGUACCGUCAUCGACCUCAACGGCCCACCCACUAAGUCUACAGAAAUAUGCGCAAAGGAUAGCAAGGAAAGCUGAAAAAACUCUACAGCUACAUGCCACUAUACUAUCGCUAACCAACAUAGGCUAUCUGUAGAUAUGAAAGAUGCCUCACUCUGACCCAAUCUCACCUGGGACUGCGAUACGCUCGUCCCGUCUGUCGAAACAACCCCGUACACCACCCCAAGAGUAGCCUGUGGAGAAAACUCUCUAGGGAUUGCAAUACGCCCGUUUCGCCUGUUUAGGCUACACCAUACCCCAAGAGUAGCCGGUGGAGAAAACUCUCUAGGGACUGCGAUACACUCGUCCCGCCUGUCUAAGCUACACCGUACCCCAAGAGUAGCCGGUGGAGAAAAUUCUCUAGGGAUUGCGAUACGCUUGUCCUGCCUGCCUAGGCUACAUCGUACACCUCCUCGAGAGUAGCCGAUCGAAGUAAAAAGGUCCGACAGGACUGCUGCGACUCAACACACAUCACAACCUCACUGAGGGUAGAGAAAGGCGUCACUAACUACCACUGACCCAACCUCACACGGGCUGCUCAAACGGACGCACCCUAACUGUAUCCAGCUCAAGAACCGUCCAAACAAAAACUGUGACCUCAUCGCACUGAAACCUCAUUCCGGAAUGGCAUUCGUGGGUGCGAUCCAACCGAAUUUACAAAUGUGUCUUUGCCUAGUUCAAUCAGGCUCUCACAGGCUGUAAUCACUAUAACUGGGUCAAACUAAUCUAUCCACCAAAACUCACGUGCUCUUGGUACAAUCUGAUGCAAAAUGUAGAAAUCUGGGUCCACCGUCAACCCCGACGGCACCCAACAGUACGAAACAGUUUACACACUAUUGUAAAACAAGCUCGGCCUCCCAGCACGAGCGUAAACUCACCCUACACUAAUCUGGGUAUCCACCUUGUACUAACAGCGGUGAUACAGAAAUCUCGGUCCACCGUCAAACACGACGGCACCUGACAGUCCAAACGCUACUGUACAACAAGCACGGCCCAUCAGCACGAGCAUAAUGUCAGCCUACUCUAAGCUGAGUAUCUACUACGCACUAACAGCGGUGAUACAAAAGUACAUCAGCUCCUGAAGCUAAAUCUAUUAACUUUUCGAAAAGUGAAGUGUGUAGGUUCUUAAUGUUUUCUCCUAAGUCAAGUCCCAGUUCAUCAUGCAACAUUUAUCUAAAAUUAUCAUAUGAAGCAACAAAUUUAGAUUUCAUAUUACGGCAUGCAAAUCUACCAAUUUCAGCUACUAACAUGAUGAUUGAAGGAUAACAAUACAUGCUAAAAACUACAUAGUACUUAGGAGGAAUUCCGGUGAAUUCAAUGACUUCAACCCACCUAGUAUGCAAAUCCGACCACAGAUUAAAGCGAAACUCAGCGGUCACGUGCCUUCAGUCCCGAAUCACCAACAAGUAUAAGAAAAUCCCACAAAUCCCUGUUGGAUCGAACUGAAUUAAAAAUCGAAUCACAAAUCCAUCAAAUGUCUAUCCGGUUCGAAAAAAUUGAAAUUCAGCGUUACUCACCUCAAACCAAUAGUUGCAACUUGAUUCGCAAGUUCCUCUCUACCUCAGGAACACCCUAGAAGCAUCCAAUUGCAGCAAUAAGGUCCAAAUCAAAACUAAUUUCCAAAACUAGUUGCUGCUGUCCCUACUCCAAGGCUGCUGCUGCUGCUAUCUCAAAGUUGCUGCUGGCUUCUAAGUUGCCAGCACUAAGUUGCACUUCAUUCUUGCUCCGCCAACCAACCAACAGCAAAAUUGGGAAUUGGAACUUGUUCACAAGUAAUCUUAGGCCUUUCCUCUAUAAGAAAAAUCUAUAUUUCCCCAAAAAUUCCAUUACAAAUGAAAGAUAAAGAUCAAAAUUUCAGCAUCGACGAAAACAGUUUUCUCAGUCUUCGACCUCAACAAAAAAAUGAAUUCCUCAUUCAUUUUACCUCCAAAUUGAUCGAAACAAGAUUCUAUGCAGUAGAGGAUGAAGUGAAGAUCACUUGCAAUCUUUUCAAAGCUCACUCCUAUAGAAAUUUUGAACGAACUUAAACGGGUUCCAACAAUGGACGAAAUCAGCCUGAAAUUUCAGUAUUGAACCAACUUUGAUCAACUUUAAAAUUAAAGCCACUAACCUCCCAUUUCAGCUCAAACAAGAUAAAAACGGACUCCCAACUUCCCCCUACACCAUUACCUGUGUUUAAUUUCGAAGUUGGAGCCCCAGCAAUCACCCAAUUGCAUUCAUUCUUCAAGUUGGUCCAGAUGGUGCUCUCAAACAGCCUCAAUCAAGUUUCCGUCAGCAGGGAAAGAUGGUAAAUUCACAAACCAUCCAUGAUUUCGCCUAGAACUCCACUCACCAAGUAACCAACUAGUUACUCCUUGAAUUCUUGUCCUCAAUAAGAACACCCUCCCACAGCAGGAACUUGCAACUAAAACUUCAAUUAGUCACUAGGAUCCUACUAAUGCUGUAUUUGUUGUUUGAGUGCUGCUUGUCACGGACAAAAUAUUUUCCGCUAACUUUUCCUUGACAGUGGCCCAACUUCGCUAGCGGAGCGGGUUGGACAAUGGCCCAUUCUCCGAAGGAGCGGUCUGUCGGAGGUUUUGCUGCGGCGUUCUAAAAACUUAUACGCGGAUCUCAAGACUAAUGGUGCGGAUGCCGAAGUGUCAAGAGUCCCUUAGAGUUUCUAGGUGGGCAAUAAGUGGUCUCUUGGGAGACCGUAGCCUAGCUCUUUGUCAUGUAGUUAUGCGCCAUUUGGCGCCUUUUCAUUGUAGCUUGGGUGGCGAGUGGCCUAUAUAAGGAUGUGGCCUCCGCCCCCUCUCAUUAGAGCCAAGGAAGGAAAUCAGUUGUACUCUCAACUUCUAUCAAUAUACAACAUUCCUCAAACUCUCUCUCUCUCUCUUGUAUUUAGUCUAUGGCGAGUAGGUCCUAACUUAGCGAGUAGAGAGGUAGGCUUGCCCAUCUUCGAGUAGGAAGGCGGGCGCCGCACGGGCUUUGCGAACAGAACCGGUAAGUCCGUGACAGUUGGUAUCAGAGCCGGUUCGAGAAGGAACCAUGUCGUCUUCAGAUGCUGCUGUUGUCGACGUAACUGUUGAGCCUUCUAAGCAUACCAAGCGCGACAAGAGCAAGAAGCCGCUGCAGACUCUAGUGAGAGAGUCCGUUCGCUUGACGACCGCGUAGGCGUGCUGAAGGACUCUGCUGCCAAAGCGGAGGAGCGCUACUCCGUCCUAUCCCAACAUGUGGGGAUGAUGGAGAAUGGGCUGCAUGCCAUGGAGGACAGCGUUGCGGUUGCCAUGGCGACUUUCCGUCAUCAACUCGAGGAGUUCCGCAAAGACCUCACCCGUCGCAAGGACAAGCGGAAGGUGCUGGUGAAGGAUCUCGUCACCAGGGGUGACGAGGUCGAGGACCUCAAGAUGCGGGUGACUAUCCUUGAGAAGGCGGUAGCUCGAGGCGUCGAGACGCAGAAGGAGUACACCCAAGGAUCCGCGUCCCUGAAACCCAAUGCUUCAAGGGCACGCGCGAUGAGAAGGAGAUAGACAAUUUUCUUUGGCACAUGGAGCGCUAUCUCAAGGCGCUGCGGUUGGAGGACGAGGAUGAUAAGGUCCAAACCGCUUCCAUGUACCUUGCCGACAAUGCGAUGCUGUGGUGGCGACGGCGUUCCGCAGAGGCCGCAAAGGGCCAAUGCGAAUUGAAGACUUGGGAGGACUUCGUGCGCGAACUAAAGGCACAGUUCAACCCAGAGCAUGUCAAAUAUCUUGCGCGGAGGCAACUUCGACGGCUCAAACAUCGGAGCACACUCAAGGAGUAUGUCCAGGAGUACUCGAAACUCGUGCCGGCGAUCUCCAACAUGGCCGAUGAGGAUCGGCUAUACUUCUUCCUAGAUGGCCUUCAGUCGUGGGCAAAUAAGGAGCUCGUGGCGCGAGAUGUGAAGGACUUGAACUUCGCGAUUGCUUUGGCGGAGAAGUUGCCCGAGCGGGAGCGAACCGAGGGCGAUCGAGGUGAACCACCAAAGGCGAUCGAGGCCAAUGGUGGUGGAGGGCACCGCAAUCCAGGGGGCGCCAAGGGGCACAAGCCAAACCAUGAUGCAAGAAAGCAAUGACAGAAUCCCGCCCCGCCACCUGCAAAGAUCUCUUGCUAUGUUUGCGGCGAGACCAUUGGGCGUGGGACUGCCGAAAGAGGGGCAACCACAAAGGUAAGCAGGUUGCUGCGGUCCAAGCCAUUGAGGGCGAGGACGACGACAUGGUCUAGCUGCCAAGGAUGGGCACGCUAAGGCUCGUCAACGCAGUUCGCGAUUAGCCAAGUGGCGACAAGCUCCGAAAGAGGGAGCUUAUGUUCAUCAAUGUGAUCCUCAACGGGAGGACCACGCGGGUGAUGAUCGACACCGGUGCGACGUACAACUUUGUUGCGGAGGCGGAGGCCAAGCGGUUGGACCUCACAGUCGAGAAGGAUGCGAGUCGCAUCAAAGCGGUCAACUCUGAGCCGUGGCCAAUCGCAGGAGUUGCCAAGAGCGUGGAGAUAGCCAUCGGCCUGUGGAGAGGCAAGGCCAAUCUCACUGAUGGGCUGCUCGACGACUUUGGAGUGAUCCUCGGGAUGGACUUCCUUAUUUCGUCGAAGGCGGCGCCUAUGCCACACUUGUGGGUGCUGAGCAUCAUGGACGAGUCAGCAUCAUGCAUGGUUCCGAUGUGUCGGGAUGAGCCGACGAAGGACCUAACUCUAAUAGCCCUGCAACUUUGCCAAGAGGUGAAGUGCGAGAAGACUGAGGAACUUGAGGAGGAGGACCUGAGCAGCGGCGAGACUGUCAAGUCUUAUGUGGCGCUGAAACAGUCAGCGCCCGAUCAAGGUACAAGUUAUUCUGUCAAGCAGCUGUCCGAGGGGACCAGGGGGCGUUCUGCGGCUUAGCGGAGUGCUGUCGCGGAGGACAUGCACAUUUGGUGGAUUCUUCGCAUAGCGGGUUCGCUGGUGCACAUGCUCAGAGGGGCAAGACACUAGGUGUUGGCGUGGGGACAGAUGCAGACUGCAGAAGGAAGGCACGGGGCCGAUCGCAAGUGAAGGUACGACGGACCGCGCGGAAGGCUAUGCGAACAGGGAAUGACUCGGCGCGCGACGAGGGCGUCUGCACGUUAGGUGGGGGAGGUUGUCACGGACAAAAUGUUUUCCGCUGACUUCUCCUUGACAGUGGCCCAACUUCGCUAGCAGAGCGGGUUGGACAGUGGCCCAUUCUUCGAAGGAGCAUUCUGUCGGAGGUUUUGCCGGGGCGUUCUGGAAGCUUCUAUGCGGAUCUCAAGACUAAUGGUGCGAAUGCCGAAGGGUCAAGAGUCCUUUAGAGUUUCUAGAUGGGCAAUAAGUGUAGUCUCUUGGGAGAUCGUAGCCUAUCUCUUUGUCUUGUAGUUAUGCGCCAUUUGGCGCCUUUUUAUUUGUAGCUUGGGUGGCGAGUGGCCUAUGUAAGGAUGUGGCCUCCACCCCCUUUCAUUAGAGUCAAGGAAGGAAAUCAGUUGUACUCUCAACUUUUAUCAAUAUACAACAUUCCUCAAACUCUCUCUCUCUCUUGUACUUAGUCUAGGGCGAGUAGGUCCUAGCUUAGCAAGUAGAGAGGUAGGCUUGCCCAUCUUCGAGCAAAAAGGCGGGCGCUGCACAGGCUUUGCGAACAAAACCACUAAGUCCGUGACAGUUCUAGCAAGCUACGCAGGGAAGAACCGGCAGGGAGGAAGGAGAAAUUAAGAGAAAAAGAAACAGAAGAACGAGAAAAAGAAUAGAGUUGAUGGGAAAAGUGAGUUGCAUGGAGGAGAAUAAAGUCCACACUCAGCCACACACUACCAACCAACAUCCUGAGUUUGGGGUGGUUGGGAUUUUGAUACCAUGUGCCUUAGGCACAAGGUAGUAAGGUUACCCAACAGGAAGUUGAUUGGCAUAUCGAUCUAAUUUUGACGUCUACGGCCCAACACUUUCCCAACGUGUCGACUGAAGCACAGACCGUAAUCAUUCCAAAAAAAAUAAUAAGUUAAUAUUUUUUUGAAACAUUACAUUUUGCCUUUUUUGUCAUAAAUUGGGUGAUAUGAGAAUAGAGAGAAAGGAAUAGGCGAGUUUAGAGAAGAUGAUGUUGAUCAAGCCAACAUGGGGAAACAUAAGGAUCGGUAUGUCGUUUAUGGUGGCUCUGAAAAGAUAUAAGAUGGUGAUCUCCAUGCCGUCGUACACGAGCCUCGAGAGAAAGGUCAAUCAUAAGGGUGUAUGGCACAAAUUUGAUAUUGAAUGUCCUUACCAAAGGAUGGGCGGAACCGUGAAGAAAGAAUAUAAACUCAUUCUAUAUAGGUAAUAUUUUUUGUGUUAGUUUCCUCUCCUUCCUCGACUCCCCUAUUAUAAUGACACCAUCGCCGCAUGGGGUUCACCGAAAAGUUGCUUAGCCUUGCCGACUGCUGCCACCCGAUAAACGUCCCCAUGAACAUCACUCGCCGAGUGCUUAUAGCGGUCUCAGUAAUCUAAAUUUAACGACCUAUUUUUUUUCUAUAACUUAAGUUAGUAAAUUCGAUUUUGAUGAUUUAGAAACAAAUAAUAGAGAUAAUUUUCUUUGAAAACUUAAACGGUUUAUAUUUAAAACUUUACGGCACGANCUCAGCGCCUUCUACAUGGUUAAAAAAAAAAAAAAGUUGGACCGGGUGCACUGCAUGUCUGGGCGGUGUUUAAGUUUCAAGGAGAUAAGUGAGCCCGUCUCAGAGGAAACAUAAACGUGCCGCAUGGUUGCCUAUGUUGUCCUAGUGUUGGUGUUGGAUGUAAAUGGUUAGUCGUUGGUUAAGUACUAUACAUAAAGGUAUGUCGAUUGUUAGGAAUCUUACUACGUACGGAGAUUCGUGAGGAAUCCGCAACCUACUACGUUACGUGUUAUGUUGUUUGUAAGAUAAAUUUUCACGAGGGGUGGGCCUUCGAAAACAAAAAUUGAGAUUAAGUUAGUAAGUAUUUUGGUAAGUUUUUAGAAAACUUUUGACAAAAGGUGUGCUUUUGAUGAGUUUUAAAAAAUGGUAAUGGCUUUUAAAUCGGCCCCGGGGCGUGACAUCCUCUUCCUCCAUCUCCUCCUCCGUCGGUGCCGGCGGCCCUUGGCAACAGUAACAAGGUCGGCGCCGAUCCUCCUCCUCCACCUCCGUCUUCGCCGCCGCUAGAGAAGAAGAAAGAGAACUCGGAGUAGGCCCGAGUGAGGGCGGAGCAGACAGAGGCGAUGAGGUUGUUGCCGAGGAGGUGCUCACCGCUCGUGAGGGUAAGGAAAACGGUGUAAGGAAAGAAGAUGCACCUAUCUCCAAGGAACGAACAAAUAUGCAAAGGGUAGAAAAAAAACAAGAAUAAAAAAUAAAAUAAUAAAAAAAUUCUCUUUGAAAGAGCAUUAUAUAUUGUUGCUGCUACCGAAAAGUCUAAAAAUUAGAGAAAAAGAAAGAAGAAGAUGAAUGUUGCACUGUUAACAAGAAAAUUGCACUGUUUAAUAUGAACGUUGCACUUUGUGAGAUUAAAAUUACACUGUUUAAAAUAAAAGUUGCACUAUUUGGACAAAAAUUAUACUAUUUCAAAAAAAAUUGUACUAUUCUCCGGCCCUCAUCGCCUCAUCUUCUUCUUUUCUUCCUCUUUCUUUGACCCCUUCCUCCUCUUCCCUCUCCCCUUCCGACCCUUAUCCUCACCAGCGCGAGCCUCUCUACCCCGCAUGCCGCAUCGGAGCGCCGAAACACGAAAACGACCUACCUCUCUCUUUUUUUUUUGUUCCUUUGUUAUUUUUUUUUUUCUCUCUGACGCUUAUCGCCUCCUUCACCGUAUCCUCGGUCCUUGGCGACAGUAACGAGGGCGGUGACACCUCCUCUUCCUCUGCCUGUGUAGUACACUGAACUUUAGCAAAUUGCCAGGUUCUAGUGUAAUAAUAGUAUUUAGAACUAUUCUAACUAUUUUGUGGGUUGUUGGUAGUGUACCAACACAUAACUUAAGCUCUCUGAGUGCGAGAACGGGUUACUAGCACUAAAAUCUACAAAUUGCAGGUUUUGAGUGCUGCGUAUCGGCCUUGAGUGGGGUACCGGAACUCUGUAGAGUGCCAGAAUGUGUUGCUCUUGGGUUUGAGGAGCUGGGCAGUGAGUACCGGUACUGGACGGUGAGUACCGGUACUGGACUGAGUACUGGGUGGAGUACAAGUACUGCAUCAGGUGGGUACCAGUACACUGUAAAAAAUCCGAUUAUCUAGCGCUCGGGUUUUGAGAGGCUAAGUACUGGGUACCGGUACUCCAAUUCGAGUACCGAUAUUCAAUGCUGCAGAUGGUAUGUGUGUAUAAGUGGGGUGUCACAUUUGGUAUCAGAGCCAAUUACCAGCCAGAAGUGUGAGAUGAGUCUCAGCUGAACCAGGUUAUACAACGGGGAGAGCGAGGCUCUCAUGCUCUUGACUGUUGUGGGUGGAGCGCGGCUCUCCCACAAGGUCGGUUUAGGCUAGAGAGACGAGUCUCACAUUGCUUGGUACUUGUGAUUCUGAGUCUGACGAGGACGUUAGUGCUUAAAGAGGCAGAGAAUGUGAGACCCCAGAUAGUUCUCUAUAUGGCAGUUCUCUAUAUAUGAUAUAAUAGGGUUAAUACCUUAACCCGGAUAUAGCCUUUUGAGCGGUAGCUAGGUCCAAGAGGUUAAGAGAGUUAAGCGUGCUAGGACUACAGUAGUCCUAGGAUGGGUGACCCUCUGGGAAGUAGGGCGUCACGUAAAACAUUCAAAAUUUUAUUUGAACUAUGAACUAUUUUGAAUUGACUAUCUGUCACGCCCCGAGCUCCGCCUAUUUGGUCGGAUUCGGGCAUGCCAACAGACCGCCGAACGGAUAGGGUUUCCCCUGUACCACGGAUAGAGUUUUUCCUGUACUGCGGACAGAGUUUCCCCUGUACGUCCAAGGCGUCACAAUCCAUACAAUACGCGAGGUUCCAACCAGGAACAGUAUUCAAUCAAGGAUUGCGUAAGGAAGUAUCAAAAACAUAAAUACAACUAUGCUAUUACAAGCAUUCAUUCCAGGUUUUACAUAUUACAAUUUGAUUUACAUUUAACUUCCAAAUACAAUCAGGUUAUUACAAAACUAUUACAAGUUUGUUUCUUUCAUCUCUAUACCCCUAAGCUAGACCACCUCGGGGUACUGCUAUCUCUGGUCAGAAUGGUAGGGCGCUAGCUAUGGAGCUACGCCCUUUCCUCGCGCCGCCGUGCCGCUCACGCGUGAACCUGAAAUCCCCCAAAACAACGUGGGGUGAGAACUAUAUAAAUAUAGUUCCCAGUGGGUACGGCCACCUAAGGUAAGAGCUCGACCCACCAGGUCCAAAGGAGGCACUGCCAACAUGUUAGUCCAGAAAAUAUCCACAUAUAUAUCAUUAUAUGUUUUAUGUAACUAACAGUUAUCAUGUUCAUGCCUCUCAACAUGCAACAAUGCAAAUCAUGCAACUCAACAUGCAUCAAUGUAAGUCAUGGAACUCAACGUGCAAUAAUGUAAGUAGAUCUACUAAUUCUACUUCUAUCUCGCUAUCCACAGCUCGUCCAACUGACUUCUAAGAUUUCCUCUAUCUUAGAUUCAUAUCAUUCACAAUUUGCUCAUAAGGUUUCAUCUACCUUUACCAAACUAUCCACCCGACUCGGUCUUGAGUCAAUCAUCUGCGGAGUAAUCGCGUACAGCCAGGCUCGAGGUGAAGGACAUCUCAUAUGCAUCUCAGCCUUAAAUCCACUGAACUGGGAUGCCAACUGGGAUGCAAAUUCACUCUACUAGGAUUCAUCCAUAGCUCAUAAUGCAUGUCACCUAAUCUCACUGGUUAACCGAAAGGUUAAGCCCCGACUCAUAGUGCAAUCCCAUAGGUGAGGAAACCCUCCCGCUCGCACACCGAGACCGUCUGCUGGGUAAGUGGAUCGUUAACUCAUCGUGUGAAGACUCCGGAGCUCACUGCUUGGGUGGAGCGACCACGCCAAGCGAGAACAGACUAUGUGAGUAUGAUCCAAUCCUCUCCAACUGAGUAUACCCUACCAACUAGGGAUACAACAAACUCGAAAAAUCCACCAAUCCCAACAUUCAUGUCACAAGUGUCUCUACUACACUAGUUCCAAAUGCCACUCGAUCUACAACUCAAAAAAUCAUCUAUCCCUAUAGUCAUCAUGUCAUAAGUGUCUCUACCACACUAGUUUCACAUGCCACAUUUUCUACUUGUCAUCCUAGUUAUCCACACCUAGGAUUAUAGUUCAUAUGUCCUUAUUUUGAUAUCGAGUUCUCUAAUCAACCUAGAGUUUAUCGACCCAAAGUAAACAUUCAUAUGAAUUUAGCACAUUCUACAACAUGUCAACAUGCAUAUCUCAACUAGUAUAAUCCACAACAUGAACAUGCAUAUACCAUCUAGUGUAUAUAUAUCCACAUGCACAUUUCAUCUAGCAUGCUCUCAUAAUGUUCACAUGCAUAUUUCAUCUAACAUAAUCCACAAUAUGUCAACAUGCAUAUGUUUAGUCAUCCAAUGAUAGUCCAUGCAUAGCAUCUAUUUCAUGCAUUCAUCUAGCAUUUAUAUCAUGUAUUCAUAUGUUUUGCAAUUAACUACCAUUAUAUGCAUCAAUGAUAAAUAACAUUCACUUCGACAUGGAAGUGAGCUAAUCUCUUCGGUGAGCACAACCCAUCUCGUAACGCUCUCCGAUUGCUUGUCGACACUUGCAACCGGCCUCCUGCGGUACUCGUUGUUCGGUUCGGCUCGAACUUGCAAUCGAUCACCAGCCACAUGUCAAUCCGCGACCUAGGGUCUUCAAGGGCCUCUCUCUAACCUCCAAUUAGAGAAACCAAGGGUUAAUUUAGACCAAAACCCUUAAACCCCAAAACACUCAUCGCUAACCCUAGCAUGGCAUAAUCUCCAAUUAACCCAAAAAUCUCAUGGAGAAAACAUGCUAACAAUACAUUAGAGGCUACUAGAACACUAAGUAUUAAGGAUUUAACCAAAAUCCUAACACUUACCAAAUUGCAAACUCCGAGUCGAAAGCACGCCGCUCAACUGGACGUACGAAGACUCGAUCCGUCGCUCCACACGCGUUCCCAAGCCCGCUCGCCGCCAAGCCUCUGAAUGUGGGAGAGAGAGAUAAAGAGAGUAGGGAAAUAUCUAGAGAGAGAAAGGGAGGGUUUCUCUCUCCCUCUCCAUGUACGUGUGUGUGUUGUGUUUGGCUGAGGAGGAAGGAGGAAGAAGAAGGAAAGGGGAAAAACCCAUUUUUAUAAGCCAACACCCCUCAACAUUAACACAAUUUUCAGUUUAGCAGUUCAGAAUCUGAAGUUCUUCGCCGGAGCCCUUCUGAAUGUCCGUUUGCGCUCAAAUUUGACAGUUAGGCUCGGUUUAACUUAACAAGAAAAACGAAAUCUUAACUUCUCAGUUUCAAACCAUUUUUUGUCACCGAAAACUCUACCGACUAAAAUUUCUAGUAGAUAGCAGUCGGAUUUUAUUUUAUACUUUCCUGGUAUUGGAAUGACAUGAAAUUUUAAAUCUUGCAUCAUAAAAAUAAUUUCGACAUAUUCUCCAAUUUUCAUAAUUUUCUGACACUGUGAAUUUUCUGCUAAAAGGUCAACCCCGUUUCUUACAGAAAAUAGUAUCUUACACUAUUUUUAUUUAUAUUUACCUUUAUAUUAAAAUCCGGUGCAUCACACUAUCCGACCUUUCAAAAUUUUGAUUUUACGAUCCAACCUUUUAAUUUAUUUGAUUUGACUUAGUCAAUAGCAUUUUGAUUAUAAAAUUUAAAUAUGACCUUUAUCUUUAUGUUUAGUUAUUAUACUUCAUGCAAUUUUCAUAAUUGUAAAUAUAAUAAUGUGAGCAACUACUUAAAUUUUAAAGUCAAAGUGUUGUUGUAAUAUCUGAGAUUUGAAUAAAACGAAAUUUGAAAUUUGAAUUUGAAUUUAAGUAUAUAUAUAUAUAUAUANUCUCUCUCUCUCUCUCUCUCUCUCUAUAUAUAUAUAUAUAUAGUUCGGCUACUAUACAUACAAUUAUGAGUACGAUCGCCCUCGUACUCAUAAGUUGUUUUCGAUGAUAGAGCUCCCGAAUCGUCGAUCCACACCGUUAAACAUUAUCUAGCGUAUUUAAAACGUCUAGAAAUCAAAUUUUAUAAUUUUUCGUCAUCAUUUACCUUACGAUCAAAAGGUCACAAAAUUGACAAUUUUUAACGGUCGGUAUGGCAUAUUUGCUAGUUUAACGGUGUAAAAGAAUCGAAAUCGGUUGAAUUUUUGAUAGAAAAUUUUAUUCACUACAUAAAUAAAGAUCAAUAACUCCGAUCUUAAAUUGAAGGAUCCGAUCAUCCAUUUUUAAGAUGUCGUUCGAUUUUGACCGUUCAUUUUAUACCCGCUUGAUGGACUUUUUUAUGAUUUCGAAAAAUUACGAAAUUUAUUUUCUAGAAGUUUGAAUACUCUAGAUCAUAUUUAACGGAGUGGAUCGUGAAAGCUCCAUCAUUGAAAACAACUUAUGAGUACGAAGGGCCCAAUACUCAUAAGAGUAUAGUAGCCCUACUCUCUCUCUCUCUCUCUAUAUAUAUAUAUAUAUGUGUGUGUGUGUGUGUGUGUGUGUGUGUGUGUGUGUGUGCGCGUGCAUGUGUGUGUGUGUAUAUAUAUAUAUAUAUGGUGGUAUUGAGAGCAGAGGAGUUUCGUCGCAGAUCGGCGACCAAAUCUGGCGAAACAAAAUAGUAGUUUCGAUGCCCCUGUCGUGCUGAAUGCGAUGGCGCAGUUCGAUCAAAAAUCCGACGAACGGAUCUCUGGGAAUCUCAUAAUGUUCGCUGAGGAGUCGAAAGUGGCAAAACGGAAAAUUCGCGAAAAGCCUUAUAUUUUAUGUACCGUUUUGCACGAUUUUGAAUGUGGAGGUGCGUAUGCGCAAAAUACAUGCGCUGUGAGGGACUUGCCUGAAAAUAUUCAGCUCUGGAGGACAAUAUUGCAAUUUGGCCAAUAUAUAUAUAUUUGCAUCUUGGGUUUUCCAUGCUAACCUUAACCCUAGUAUACACCUUCUACCGUAGCUGCGCCCCCAACAGCCUCCACCACCCUCCCCUGCCCUCGCCACGCUGUCACGGGUCUAAUGACUUUUGUCAAAAAGCCCGCGCGGUGCUCGUUCGUCACCUACACAAACGAGCCAGCCAAUUCGUCUCGAGGUACAACUUCGCAAAUUGGCAACGACCGAGAAUUGAGAUAAAGCACGUAAGGGGGUCCUACAAAUUGGCACAAACAACGAGUAUUUUAUUGAUAACGAAAAUUUGGACUACAAGCGAAAGGCACACGACUCAACUCAGUCGGGCAUGGCCGAUGAGGGCAAAAUGAUCACCAAGACACUCCGCAUCUAGCGAAGCCGGCUCACUUAAUACGUCUCACCCAACCUUCCCGUACUACCCUAUAUUGGCAUCUACCCAUUUGGCACCCCGGGGGUACAAAGGUGCUCACCAAGGGGUACGUUUUUCCCACUCCGCACACCCAUGGGAAAAUAGGUCGCCGACCCAUGUCCGACAUGAGUCCGGCUCAAUCCGUCGCUGUCACGCCUCGGGGUCCCAUUUUAGUUUUAAAAGCAAAACGGAAAUGCCCAAAAAAAAAUUUUCUUGAAAACCUGACCCCCAGGGUAUGCCAGAUCCGCCACAAGUACAGGAAAUCACUGUUCACACGGACAGUGUCUUCCCUGUAUUUGCACAGCGUCGCACAAGUACAAGAUACAAUUUUUAACUAACCAAAUACAACCACAAAGAUGAACAUCCACAGAUUCAUACAUCAUUCACAGAAUCUCAUUUAUCCAAUUGAAUGAAAGUCAACUGAACCAUAAAGUUUAAGUUAUAUAUUUUGAAUAAGCAAGGAUAGAAACUAGACCGAAGGUCACCGGGCCGGAAACUUUAUCGACCGCUACGAACGUGUCUCACGUAUCGUCUCAACCCUCACCACCCGCAAUACCUAAAAAAUGGUUGGGGGGGUGAGAACAUGUAACCAUGUCUCCCCUCCCAGCGGGUACCGCAAGCAGACGAAGGCGAGGAGUACUCACCGGCAGAAAGAGAUCAACAAAGUCAUAAGUAGAUAUCACAAAUACAGUAGCUAUAAUACCGGAAGGAAUGGAAACAAUAAUAGAACAUGUAACUACCGCUACUGCAAAAUAGAACAGAAUGCAUACAUGGAUAUCGUAACUACAGUAACAAUGAUGCAUGGGUAAAUAACAAUAUAUAGGAAUAUGACUAGCCGCUACUGUAAUACAGAACAAAGUAUAAGUAUGCAUCAACUGGACGAUCAGUCCCAAAAAUACCCAAUCAGAAACUUGGCAUGACGGUCCGCAGACCUCAAGCCUGUGCUCACUGCCACUCUACCUGUAUAUGACCCAGACUAGGCCUCUGGGCUCACAGGCUGCAUAUAACCCAGACUAGGCCUCUGGGCUCACGGGUUGGCACAUCGAACCACUUUUCCGGAAAAGAACACCCUCUGUGGUGGAUCAGACCGCUGGUGAUCGUGAAAUGCAAACAAGUCUCGGGCGAUCGAUGCUGAUAUGCUCAAUAGCCAACCGUCGGCAACUAGCCGACAAUCCUAUCUCUCAGGGUAUACUGACCAAUAGGUCAUCGAACUGUAAAGAACACAAGUACCGACCACUCAGGUCAACUAGAUGGAACAACUCAACAUCCCUUCGAAGAUAUGCAAGUAUCGACUACUCAAUGUCAACUAACAUCUAUAUACACAAGAACCGACCAAUAGGUCACAAGGAUGUCACAUCAUACAUCGGUAUAAUCCAGAACUAACUGUAAGUUUUGGGGUGUCCAAGGAUCUAUCUAGAUUAUAUCUAAAACCUAGAGGGGGGUGAAUAGGUGUAAUAGCCAAAAACUAUAAAUCUCGAUGCGAUAAAAAUAAAUGCGAAAAAUAAAAAUCACACCGAAAUUUACGUGGGAAAACUCCAACUUGGAGAAAAACCUACGAGACCAACACGCGAAAAAAUAGUUCACUAAGAGAAAAGAUUACAAGGUGAUUACCAACUCCACGGACUCGACCUCUCUUAACCUCUUAUGAAUCUCGCGCAAUCCUCCGGGUUGUCCAUGCCCCCACGUUCGAAUCCACGAACGCCUCUGUAGCACACUGGACCUUUGUAAAUUGCGAGGUUCGAGUGUUCGAUUUGUAUUCCGAACUUCUCCACACUUGGUGGAGGGCCGUCGAUGGUAUACCGGCCUAAAAGUUCGAUCUCGAGAGUUUUGGCAGAGUCCUGAGAGUUUUUACUCUCGGGGACCGGUCCCUGAUAGGAGAGACCGGUCCCCCAGUGAACAGUGCUGCGCAGCCGGCGAGGCAACCGGUCCCUGGCAGUCGAGACCGGUCCACGAGCGCGUCUGCGCGGGGAGAGACCGGUCCCGCGCAGGGAGAGACCGGUUCCCGAACGUUGAAUUUUCGGGGACAGGCUGAGAGACCGGUCCCAAGUCGGGGAGACCGGUCCCUCUGGGCGAAAACUGCCCAGACCGGGCUGAUGUGAUUUUGGAUUUUUAAGGGGCUUAUCAGGAUUUUGUUACUUUAGAGCCUAUAGAGAGCCUUUCUUCUCUCUCUUUCCCUCAUUUCUCUCAAUCCUUUGCAUUCUAGAGAGAGAAGAAGAGAGGGAGAAGAAGAAGAAGAAGAAGGAGAGGAGAAGGAGCUUGCUUGGAGGCUUUGGAGCAUCAUCUUCUUCCCCAUUUCUCACUUUGGUGGCUUCGAGCUUGUGGUUGGAGCUUUGUGGAGGAUCAAUCUUCAACCCUAGAAGAUUUUGAGCUUGGAUUGGAUCAUCCUAGAGGUAAGUGGCAAGGUUCCUUCCUCUAGAUCUUAGUUUUGGGGCUUUUGCUUGUUUAAACCCUAGAUUUUGGAUUUUAGGGUUAGAUUUGGGGAUUCUUGAUUUGAGGCUUCUUGAUCUCAUUUGAAAGGUUUGGAACCUUUAUAUAGGUUAGAUUGGAAGACCUCUACCUCCCAUUUGAAGAUUAAGAGAGGGUUUUUCACUUGAGGUGAGUUUUUCCCAACCCUAUCUUAAGUUGGUUAAUGAUUGAACUUAGCGUCAUUCGUUUCGACUAGAUGACACUUGUUUUCAUACCUUUAGGGUACUAGGAGUGUGGUGGACGCCUUCGUCGUGGCAAACGAAAGCUUUCGUUGACGACGGUGGGUUUGGCUUCGUGGAAAUGGGGCGAAAUGGCCCCUAUGCUCUUUCUAUUUGUUGUAAAAUAUUUUUUUUAAAUUCAUUCCUAUGCUAAAUGGAAUUUAUAUGAAUUUUAGAGCACUUCGAAUGCAUGCCUUGUGUAUUAUGAAAAUUUCACUAUAUAGUAGAGCUAUAUGAGUAGAAUGCAUGCAUAUGGAAAAAGUGUUAUUUGCAAGUGAAAAAUACAUCACUUAUGAGGAUUAUGAUUUGGAAUAUGUACUUUGGAACAUAGUUGCCAUGCUCUGGCAUAGAGAACAAGGGUGUCAUCAAGGGGCACUUGAAACUAGUAAACUAUGAAACUGCAACAUAGAGACAUAUUGAUAGGCCACUACAUAUCUGCUAUAUUCCAUGUUAGAGACAUGAUGACAUAGGGAUAGGCCAUUGAGAUACUUGACACAUUCCAUGUUAUUAGACAUGAGGACUUGGUACUUGCGACAGAUCGUUUGACUACUUGCCAUUGUGCUCAUUCGCACAUGCUUGUGAGGGUCGCUCCCUACAAGCCGGCACUCCGGAGAUAGCCAUCGCGAUUCAUAUUCGCCGUGCGGGAUUGGGCGCCGAAGUGGAUUGCCGUGGGACAGGCUCAUUCCUAGGGUGGGGAUGAUGACUACCACGGGGCCAUUAGGCUCGGCACCGGCCAGACAGCCUACGGGUGGGUCUCAGGGCCAUAGACAGCCUUCGGGUGGGUCUCUUCAGAUUUGACUUUGAGUAUUCAUUAUGACAUGUGGACAGAUGAUGACUUAGUGUACUACUUGGACAUUGACUAGAAUAGUAAACAACGGAACUUUACUAUUUCGCAUUGUGAACAUUAUGAUAGUUGGAGACUUUUACUUCAUGCAUAGUUGCUUCAUACUUAUGCUAUUUAUGCUAAGUAGAGAUAUCAUGUUGUAGUAAGUUACAUUUUUACUUACCUUUCGCUUUUCUACUUUUAUAGUCACUGACAUGUUUUGUAGAUUUGGGCCUCGUGGUGCAUUCACUGAAGUCAGUAAUUGUCCACUGGGAACUAUUUUUAAUAGUUCUCACACCCCUGUUUUAUGGUUUACUUUUCAGAGCCUUCGGCACCGGCGGAGGCACGGGAUCGUGGCAAUGGGAUCGCUUAGCUAGCUAGCGAGGAGCGGUACUUUGCCUAGAUGGUUUACUCUUUCUUUUGUAGUUGAGAGAGUGAGAGGUUUUUGUAUCCAUGUAUAGAGACCACCUAUGUAUCUACCUAUAGCACUUGUAUCUGGGACUUCCUUGUAUCACUUUAUAUUUUAUUUAGUGGAUUUACAGUUUUAUCCUUAUCCCUGGUUGUAGCAUUUAGACAUUUAUUAUGCUUUGAUACUCCUAGAUGUCUUUUAUUAUUGCUUUUAUUAUUGUUGUUUUUAGACGCUUUAUACGUUUUAGACGUAUGGCGGGUCUGGGCACGCGCCGGGCGGGCUUCCGCUGGGUCCCGGGGCGUGACAGCCUUGCACACGUCUAAAUCCACGAACGCCACUCGAAUCCACGAGCCCACAAUCCGAAUCCACGAACCGCCUUCAAUCACGCUGAAUCCACGACGCCAUCCAUGAAAAACAUCAUGCUAUGGUGAUCCUUCGCUUAAAGUGUUGUAGAAAACCAGAGAAGAAAACUCCAAGCGAAGUGUAGAUCAAAUCGACAUAUUGAUAUCAAAUUACAAUCUCUCGAUUUCACCUAAAAGAGGCUAUUUUGUGGAAAAUAGGUUUUGGACGAAAUCCUAGCCUGUAGGGUUUCUCAAAUAUGUAUUCUCAUGAUGCUUAAUCUGUUAGAGAAUCCCAAUAGCUUAUUUAUAGACUUUAGAAUCAAUUAGACUCGGAUUAGAAAGUUUUUCGGAUUUUUACAUUGUGUACCGGUACACUUUCAAGCUGUUACCGGUUACACGAUGACGGAACGAAAAACCUGCAAAAUAGUGUAACAGGUGACAGGUCGCUGGUUGUACCAAAACACAAUAUGUACCGGUACACUUUCAAUGCUGUACCGGUACACUUUGCAAUUUUUAGUUUUUUUGCAAAGUUUCGGGUUUCGCAAAGUUCCAAUGCACUUUCUGAUCCAGUAAACAUUGAUUUUAUGAUUCUAAUGCCUACAGCUAAGUAUGAAUCACCCUAACAUGAAUUACAAAUUUUACCUGAGCAUCGUGGUUCACGUCGUGAGUUAUUUUCCGAUUUCUUCGAAAUCUUGGAUUCUUCGAUCUUUGACAUUACGCACUGAUCCUUCAAGACUCCGACUCAAUCCACGAAACUUGCCAACACACAAGACUUAGCAAUUUCGUGACAAAACUCACAACAACUCAACAAUUACAUCUUAAAGAAAAACGAAGUUCAAUAUCAUCACCAAAACAUCGAACUUCUCGCAUGUAGUCCAAAUACAACUUGAAACUCAAAAGUACAUUAUAAACUCCUAAAACAGACUCUAUGACUUAGACGCAACUAGGAGUCUUGAAGUUUUGAUUUCCUGCAAAAACAAACUAACCAAAAUGAUAUAGAAAGUUGAGACCACUGGACAUUCUUACAUUCAAUUCAUUGUUCUUAUUGUUCUUGAUCACUUCUCCCCCUUUGUUCUUAUCUCCCUUCUUCUCCUCGAAAUUUCACUCCUUUUCCCCCUUUGUUCUUGAAAGAUAUGGAUCCCGAGGAUCUAAAAGGUAAAUAACACCUAGAGGGGGGUGAAUAGGUGUAAAAUGGCAAAAACAAAAGCUCUCGAUGCAAAUAAAAGAGAUAGCGGAAAAUAAAAACAGCACACCGAGAUUUUAACGUGGGAAAACUCCAAUCUGGAGUGAAAAACCCACGGGACCGAUCACGCGAAGAAAAUCCACUAAGAAAACUUGAGUACAAGUGAUUUUAACCAAAAUACAUGACUCAAUUUACCGAAUUCCCGUUGUUGAUGGUCUUCGCCGGUCCUAGAUCGAUAGGAAUCCUCCGAUCGACCUCGCCGCAACUCCUUGCUGCGUCAACGCCUCAACUCCUCGAAGCGUCCACCGAAUCCUCGGCUUCACGCGAGUCCACGCGCCGAACCUCCUUUCGGAGUUUGCAGAAUUGAUGAUUUGUGGUGAUUAAGACUUAGAAUACCAUAAGCAAUGAGGGUUCACCUUCUAAUCAAACAUCUACUCGAUUCUCGAAAAAGAUAUCGAGUUAGAUCGAAGAAUCAAGUCGAUCGUUGAAACUUGUUAUAAGAAUAGAAUCAUAUAAAUGUGAAAACAAGUUUCUAGGAUUUUAGAUCAGUAGAAAUUCAAAGCCUUAACCCAUAUGACGACCCCCAUGGCUUAUUUAUAGGUUUAGAAGACUUAGAAGUAGACUAGGAUUACAAAAAGUCUAUUUAAAAAAACUGGUGUCGUCCUCAGGGACCAGUCCUCUUGAGGAGACCGCUCUCGAGUGAGAGAUCGGUCCCUCGCUGCGUGACAGAAAACACACCGUUCGGUUCGGGAACGGUCUCUCAUGCCAGAGACCGGUCCCUCGCUGCGUGACAAAAAAUCCCAUGUUCGGGAACCAGUCUCCCUUUCCAGAGACCGAUUGCCUCAACAUCCCACGCAGUGAGGACCUUCGGGGACCAGUCUCUCAACUCUGGGACCGGUCCCAGAACACUGAAAAGUUCAGUAUAAGCUUUAUAAUGCAAUCUAAGUCUUCUGAACUUAUUGUAAUUAAAUAAAUUCACCACAAAUGAUCUAUUCUAUAUACCUGAGGUGUCGAGCUUCUCCAAAUGAGUUUUUGCUCUUCAAAUUGAAUCUUCUCUUCAAACUACCGCGAUCAACUCUUCAAGACUCCAUUCGACUUUACGAAAUCCGCCAACCUAGAAAAUCCUUAACAAUCUCCCCCUUUGGCGAUUUCGUGACAAAAUAUAUUACAAUGCUCGUACACAACUCAGAAACAAUAAAAAGAAGAUCAUCGCAAUCACCAAACGACAAUCUCCUCCUGCAUGAUCGAUCCAAUAAAAGAAAAAAUUACACUUUUCUCACAUUCCUAAUACAAACUCUAUGACUUAAACAUGGAGUCUUGAAGUCUUGAACAUUCCUGCAAAAACACUCUUAAAACACAAUCAAGAUUCAAGAAUACUUAUUAUAUCAAAAGAUCAAACAUAAACGUCAAAGCACCAACCAAAGUUCAAGACACAUCAACAGUCAUAGUUCUUCUAAGUCAACAGUCAUAGAGCAUCUAAGCAAACAUCUAAUCUAAAUUUACAUAACUAAGCAAAACACCAAAAGUGCAUCAUGGGCAACAUCAUCACAAGCAUGAGCAUCAUCAUCAUCAUGAGCAUUGAGCAUCUCCCCCUUUUUGUCAGAAAGCGCCAAAGUGACAAAAGGAGGAACCCCGCACCACUCAGUCGGAGUUGUCACCCUGCAGAGGAAGAUCUGAGCUACAACAACCCAAUUUAUCAAAGAUCGCUUUCAUUAAACAUUUAAUCUUGCUCACAUCCUUCCUUAUCUGAGCCUGAUCCGUAGAAAGUUUCUGAAGCUCUUCAGAUAAUCGCUGUUGCUCACGAUACACAGAUGAAACCGAGACAUCCUCCUCAGAAAUAUCCAUAGAAGAACGUGAAGAAGUAGGAGCAGCAGGAGGUGGAGUAGCAGUAGGUGAAGCAGUUCGUUGAGACGGAGUUCUAAGCUGCACAGAGGACUUCACAAACGUCCUUUCAUUAAUCCAUCCUAAGCUGUGCUCAUAGGAAGUACAACUUGUAUUCACAUCGUGAUAUCUAAGAAUCCGCAUGAUGAUCAUCGGAUAUGGCAAUCUUUCAUUCUGCCCGGAAGUCUUGAUGUCCUUUGCCAUCAGCCGCCAAAUCAAAAAUGGAAUGUUCAUGUUGAUGUUCCUGGCUUGAACAAUGUUCCCCAAUAAGUACAUAUAGGGUACACGAUCCCAUCUCAAUAUCUUCGUGUUAGCUAAUGGCAAAAUGUUAUAGCAUACCACGAAGUUUAGAAAUCUAUAUUCCAUCUUGAGAUCCUUAGAAAGAACCAUAAUUGCAUUUGAUUCAGUACCCGGCAUACAUAUCGCGUCCAAAAUCUUUUUCCAAUUCUAAAUUGAUCAAAACCGGCAUGAAGAUACUCAACCCCAUCUAUCCGAGCCGUCAUUUCCAGCACUGUAGCAAUAGAAUCAGGUUUGAUCAUCAGCUCCACUCCACGUACUGAAGUAGUAAACUGAUAAGGGCCUCCAUCAGAGUCACUCAAAUGACCUGCCCUCAUGUAAAAUUCUCUGAUCAGCUCCAAACAAAAACCAGUCUGCUCCGGGAAAUCACAAAUCUGAUGUAGAUUUUCUUUUUCAAACAGAUCUUGAAACCCCGGUACACAAUCAAUAAUACUAGCUACUCCAACAUCUCGCUUGCCAAUACAGUGCUUUGAUGAGUACAUUGAUCUACGACUGGAAGGAACAUCCUGCACACUAAGACGUGGAGGCUCAGAACCCGGUUCUCUGAUCUCAACACCCCCAAACUUCCUACGAUCUGCAUAUUCAGUCGCCUUUCCUUUUCCCUUGUCCAGUGCCUUUCCUUUACCCUUAUCAACUGCCUUUCCUCUACCCUUUCCUUUACCGUUGUCCUUAUCCUUUUCAGUAACUGAGGGAGCUUUACCCUUCUUUUUCGACAACACUUCUGGAGUAAGUGCCUCCCAAUCGGGCUCAUCAGACUCAGAUUCCUCGCCCGGAGCAUACUCGCUCCCCUCAUCCUCUGGUUGUCGCUCAACCGGUCGCUUAGCCGAGAAACGUUGACGUUUGCUACCGCGACCACCACCGGCCAUAAGAAAAACAAGCACGAGUAACCAGGAAUACAUGAUUUUAAAAGGCACCUGUUAAACACAAUAACAUAUACAAAUUGAACAUAAGAACAAUCAGUAUUUGAUUCCAAAAACUUCAGCAAAUUGAUAUGUAAUAUGCUAGAUAAUCCUAGGGCCACAUAACCAUGAAAAUCAUGGACAAAUCAAGCAUAAAAAAUCAGUAAACUCACAUUUUUCGAAAAAAUUGAAAAAUUAGGUUUUAAUGAAGAAAACAGAGCAAAAAAACAACCAAACAAUUGCAUCAAAGUAUGAAAGAAUGCAAGAAAAUGCUGACUAACAUGUCUAGAGGUAAGAUCAGGGCAAAAAGAAGAAAUUUAACAAUAUAAUGAGAUCAAGACCCCAAAAACAGGAAAUAAAGCAUAAAUUCGGAUUAUAAGGCAACAACGAAAUAAAAUCCGAGAAUCAUACCAAAAUCAAGUGUAAAUUGAUGAAGAGAGGAACCAAAAGCACCCUGGAGAUAUUAGACGCUCUGGAGAGAAGUUGGGAAGGAAUUGGUAAAGUAAACAAAAUAGACCGCAAAAACCCUUAUAACGGUUCGGGCGGAGGGACCGGUCUCUCCAAGUCUGGGACCGGUCCCAGAGCCAAAAUCUAAAAAUUUAAUUUUCGUCCAGAAUUUUCAGAAAAUUUUAUUUAAUAUCCCCAAAAUAUCCAACAUAAAAAAUACUCAAUUUUCAUCCCCAAUGACUUCCAAUAAAAUUUCAUAAAUAAAUUUUGAAAGAUUAAUUUCAAAGAUAUUCAAAAUGUCAAAAAUUGUUGAUCCGAAAAUCAAAUAAAUUCUUGAUAAGUAUCAAAUAAAAUUUCACAUAUCAUGCAAGAUCUAAGAAUCAAUUGUAUUGUCUUAUUCUCAUAUUUGUUAAGAAAAAUGAAUAAGUAAAUCUCACAAUUGUGAAAUUAAAAUAAUAUUCACAAUUUGAGUUAUGCACAUAAUUCGAGAUAAGAGUGGCUCUUUGAGCAUCUUUUUAACAAACCACCUUAUAUCGCCUAGGAGAUGUAUUAAACAUAGUAUUAGAAUUUUACCAUCUCCACAACAUCUCAUAUUUAUUUAUUCUUUAUUGGCUUUUAGCUUAUAGAGAUAUAUUGAUCAUCAUGUGGUAGCUUCACACACUGAGCGGACGACCGGGGUGGUAGCUCUUUCCUCCAUGUGGUGGUAGUUUUCACACUCCCAGCAGGGAUGCAACUCUUUUCACAUCUUUUGAAUUUAAGAUAUUUUCAUAACCACAGUUGGAAAGACUCCCCCUAAAUUAGUGCAACCCUCAAGUCAAAAAUAUUAUUGCAAUUUCAAAAACAGAGAAAGAGUUAUUCAUCUCACAACUAAUAAUCAAACAAACAAUUGCAACAUUCAAAAUUCGAAAUAUGAGGUGUUAAAUUUUAAUUCAGAAUACUAAGCAGAAUUUCAACGAUUUGAUCGUUAAAAAAUUAUGACAAUAGAGAAUAACAUUGACAGUGAUCAAUCAAAAACUUAAUAUGAAACAAUUAAAGUCAUAUGAUAGAGCUAAUAAAAACCAAUUCAUCUCCCAAAAACAGUGCCAUCAUUUAUGAAAUUCAAUCGUCUCUCAAGAAUAAUCAGGAAAAACCGGAAAACAUGCACAAAAUGGAACAUGCACAUGAUCUAUGGCCCAAUAGAAUGUAUCUAGUUUGAAGGAUUCAUACCAAUAGCCUUUCUUAAAUGUAGAAAACGUUUUUGAUCCAAAGGCUUAGUUAAAAUAUCCGCAAGUUGAUUUGCAAUUGAAAUAUAUUCAAGUUGAAGAUAUAUUCAAGUUGAAGAACAUUUGAUUCAACCAAUUCUCUUAGAAAGUGAUAUCUUAGUUCAAUAUGCUUUGUUCGUGAAUGUAGAACAAGGUUUUUAGAAAUAUUGAUAGCACUCGUGUUGUCACAUAGAAUUGUAAAAGUGGUGGAGGAGAUCCGAUAAUCACUCAACAAGCUUUUCAUCCAGAUUAAUUGAGUAGAGCAACUACUGGCCGCAAUGUAUUCCGCCUUUGCAGUGGAGAGUGCAAUACAGUUUUGUUUUUUACUAUGCCAUGCAACCAAACAGUGUCCAAGGUAAAAACAAGCUCCACUAGUGUUUUUCCGAUCAUCUGCAGAACCUGCCCAGUGAGCAUCUGAGUAGCCGAUUAAGUCCAAAGACAUCCCCAUAGGAUACCAUAGACCAUAAGCAGUUGUACCUUUAACAUAUCGAAUAAUUCUCUUAACCGCUUUCAAAUGAACUUCCUUUGGAUUAGCUUGAUAGCGAGCACAAAUUCCCACACUGAAAGCAAUAUCCGGUCUACUCGCGGUCAAAUACAGUAAACUACCGAUCAUGCUCCUUUACUGUUUCUCAUCCACACUUUGUCCUUCAACAUUCACUCUAAGUCCUUUAUUACUUGUUCCCAUCGGUGUAUCAAAGUUCUUUACUCCAUCCAAACCAAAUUUCUUAACCAGUUCCUUUGCGUACUUGGUUUGAGACAAAUGAAUUCCUUCAUUUGAUUGUUUAACUUGAAGACCAAGGAAAUAUGAGAGCUCACCCAUCAUAGACAUCUCGAACUCACUAGUCACAACUUAGCAAAUUCAGUGGCAACUGUAUCUUUAGUUGCACCAAAGACAAUGUCAUCCACAUAGAUUUGUGCCACAACAAAAUCAUUGUUAGUGUGUUUUACAAAAAGAGUUCUAUCCGCUCCCCCUCAGUUGUACCCCUUUUCUAAAAGAUAUUUUGUUAAUCGUUCAUACCAUGCUCGCGGUGCUUGUUUGAGUCCGUAAAGUGCUUUCUUAAGACGAAAAAUAUGAUUUGAAAAUUUAGAAUCUACAAAACCUUUUGGUUGCUCCACAUAAACUUCCUCUUUUAGAAAACCAUUCAAAAACGCACUUUUAACAUCCAUUUGAUAAAGAGUAAUUUUAAAAUGACAAGCUAUCGCGAACAAAAUACGAAUAGAUUCGAGACGGGCAACCGGGGUGAAGGUUUCAUCAUUAUCAAUCCUUUCAAUUUAUGAAUAACCUUGAGCAACAAGUCUAGCUUUAUUUCGAACAAUUGUAUCAUCCUCAUUUUUCUUAUUUUUAAAAAUCGAUUUAGUACCAAUAACAUUUUGUUGCUCAGGGCGUGGCACUAAUUCCCAUACAUCAUUGCUGGUGAAUUGACCAAGUUCUUCUUGCAUGGCAUUUAUCCAAUAUUCAUCAAGAAGAGCUUCAUCAAUAUUCUUUGGCUCAAUUAGAGAAACAUAACAUGCAAAUUCACAUUGAAGUUGACUUCUAGCUCGCACACUAACACUCAGAUCUCUAAUGACAUUAGAUAAAGGGUGAUCUCUUGACUUUAUCAGGGGUGCAGUCUCAGAUGAUGUACUCGGUAUUUCAGAUUAGAUGCUUUGAGGCUCAGAUGGCUCAUUUGAUGCAACAUUUUCAGAAGAUGCAAUGGAAUUAUCAAAAGCAGAAACAUCAUCAUUCACAGGCAAUACAAAUGGAGAGAGUCAUUAUCAUCAUCAUUCACCAAAGAAUUAGAAGAACCAUUCACAGAAGAACUUACAGAAGAAGCUUCAUCUACUUUUAUAUUGAUAGAUUCUAUCACCGUCUUAGUUCGUAAAUUGUACGCACGAUAAGCACGACUUGUAGUAGAAUAACCAAGAAAAAUCCCCUCGUCACUUCGGGAGUCAAAUUUUUCAAGAUUUUCACGAUCCUGAAGGACAAAAUAUUUACUCCCGAAGACACGAAAGUAUUUAAUAUUAGGUUUCCUACAAAGCCAAAGUUCAUACGGAGUAUUCAAAGUACCCGGACGCACAUAAAUCCGAUUGAUAACAUAGACGGCCAUGUUAACUGCUUCGGCCCAAAAAUGUAAAGCAAUUUUCUUACUAUGAAGUAUAACACGUGCCAUCUUUUGUACAACCCGAUUUUUGCGUUCUACCACUCCAUUUUGUUGGGGUGUAUAAGGAGCCGAGAAUUCAUGUUUUAUGCCAUUUGAAACACAAAAAUCAACAAAUUUUGAAUUUAUGAAUUCUCCCCCUUGAUCACUUCGAAUACGUACAAUUUUAUCGUUACGCUCAUUCAUAAGACGAAGACAAAUCUCAGAAAAAGAAUCAAAAGUAUCAGCUUUUUCACGUAAGAAAGCACUCCAUACAAAUCGAGUAAAAUCAUCAACAAUAAGCAAGAUAUAACGUUUUCCACCCAAACUUUGAAUCCUAGAUAGUCCCAUCAAGUCCAUGUGAAGUAAUUCUAACGGUUUAGAUGUCCCUAAGUGGUUCAAAUUCUUAUGUGCGGAUCUAGUUUGUUUUCCCAGUUGACAACCCCCACACACAGUGUUCUCUUUGAAGUCUAUCUUAGGUACACCUCUAACAACCUCCUUCUUGGUUAUCUUAGAUAGUUCCUUAAAGUUCAUGUGACCUAGUCGUUCAUGCCAUAAAGUUUCGGUCUCUAAUGUCGCUAGGUUACAAUGUUCAGAUGAAGAACUAGGAACUACAUAGCAGUUAUUCUGAGAUCUAAUGCAUUUUAAGGAAAGAUUAUCAUCUCGAGUCACAUGGCAUUCUUUAUCAGAAAACUUCACAGAAUACCUAUCAUCACACAAUUGGCUUAU